RNAcentral lists this long non-coding RNA (74675 nucleotides) under Coffea arabica (coffee). RNAcentral describes it as "long non-coding RNA (CARA_LNC007278)". The record is from RNAcentral. Lineage: Eukaryota; Viridiplantae; Streptophyta; Magnoliopsida; Gentianales; Rubiaceae.
UUUUUUUUUUUUUUUUUUUUUUUAUGUGGUAGCAUCGCUUAUAUAUAUAUAUAUAUAUAAAAAGAUAUUUAAAAGACUAGCAAAUAUGAACACACAAAGCAAAAAAGAAUAAUUUUUCAUUCUUCAGAAGAUUGUUAUUAAAAACUGUGUGUACCUAAUUUUGCUUGUGAUGAUAUAUAAGACACGUUUUCAGUAUAAAGAAUGGAGGAUAUUUUUUUUUAGGCCACCAGCUUUUGGCAGCUAAUCCCGGAAAUUGAAACUGGAAUUUUCUCACUUUUGUAUGCUUUUUAAUGGGCAGAUAUUACUUUGACGACAAUAAAUUUAACAAAGUGGAUUUGUUCUAACCCCAGUUACAAUAAACUAGUGUUAAAAUGACUUUAUUAGAAGACGCUUCUAAACAAUGAACCCAAAAGAACAACAAUUUUUUUUUUAUUUUAUCAUUUAUGCAUAGCAAAAUAAAUAAAAAGAAAAGAAAAAAUUGAUAGAGACUUAAGAAUUAAGAUUGAAGUUUACGUCUGGAUCAAGAUUUGCUGCCCGCUUUUUUCUGUAACAAUACACGUCAUUUUGUAUUAAAGAUAGAGGCGGAUGAGAGAUCGGCAUCCACGUGGAACCACGUGAUAUGAUGUGGUCAAGUUUGAGGUUUUGAAAAGGUCCACGUGUGGUGAGUCUAGUUUGUACUAUAUCGAAACUAGGGAUCCAUUUAUGAAACCAACAACCCGGAAUGGGCCCGCAUAAUAUAUAUAUAUAUAUAUAUAUAUAUAUAUAUAUAUAUAUGUGUGUGUGUGUGUUGUAAGUGUUUUUAUGUGCCUAGUAUGGUGCGUGUAUGGGUUUAUAACCAUAAAUUAUUGUGAUAAUUGUUGGGAUAUAGGACACGUGCUCUUUUGCAUCUUUCUUUUGAUUUCUCAAAAGUGCUAAACUAGUAGAUUCCUUAGAGUGGGAAUUGAAGUUCAACUUUUGGAGUGAUUGGUUGUUUACCUACCCAAUUUGGUAGAGAAGUUGAAUGAUGACGAUCAAAAUUAUUCCUAUCAAUGAGUUAAUUUGAGAAGGUAAUUAUUACUUUCUUUCACUAUUUCUUAGUUAAUUCAUAAUAUUGUCGAGUUGUGAUUCUCGUCACCGUGUUAUUUAUAAUCUUACAAGGAGAAAAAAUAAGAAAAAGAAGAAGAACACUUCUCUUCUAAUCAUCAACAUUUGUAUUUAGGAUAAAUUUUACGUACACUGACAGUGUAUACAUUAUCACAGUUAUUACAAGUGUUAUUAGAACAAAAUUUGCUGCUAAGUGUACAAUCUUUUUUUUUUCUUCAAUAGUUUCAGCAGAUAUAUAUAUAUAUAUAUAUAUAUAUAUAUAUAUAUAUAUAUAGAAUAAAAUGUAUUGUAACAUCUUAAAGGGGAAUCACCCGUACAUUAGAUAGAGGAGAAUUGUUUGGACUGUAUUCAUAUAGUAUUAAGGGCAACGUCGGUUGUGUCCCAAUCCAUUCCUAAGGUUCCCCAACCAUCCAAGAAAGGAAUCAAAGAGGAGAAAAGACAGAAAAAUAAGGCAAACAGAGAAUUUUUCUAAUGGUUUGAUGGAUGCAAGUAAAUAAUGUGCCAUUUUGUGUGUUGAGUCACCAAAUAAAUGCUACCUAACAAAUGCAUCCGCAGUCCAUCCUCAAGGCUCAACUCUCAAGUGCAUGAAUGGGAACACUCAAUCUAAUCUAGGUUUAUGUCAAGGAGUGUUGUAACAUGUUGGCAGUUUGGCUAUUUUUCGUUAGGUGUUGAUUAGGUUUAGGCUCACAUAAAUGUAAGUUCAGUGAACCAAAGACAAUUACUGGACACAUUUGAAUCCCAUUCCAAGCUUUCGAGAUGACAUAAACCUAACUGUUUUCUUUAGUAAUGAUACUUAGAACCAAGAAUAAAAUAAAAAGGGAACAUUAAGGACAAAAUCUGCCUAACAAUAGUAUCGAUGGCCCAUAUAAUUCUUGCGAUAGACGACAAGAUUGGAUAAUAACUUUUAGGGUUUUUCACAUUGUAUUCACACACACACUGACUAUACAUACCAACAAUUAUUUUUUUUCUCUUACAUAGUAUUUACAUAAUAUUUUCUCUUACAUAGUGUGCAUAGUACUUAUCAUAUAUAUAUAUAUAUAUAUAUAUAUAUAUAUAUAUAUAUAUAUAUAUACAUACAUACGAAUAAUUAUUAUUUUUCUUACAUUUAUAUACAUUUCGUAUUUAAUUUUGCUUACACUCCCUUGUAUUUAUUUACUUUUUCUUAUUAAUUUUAUAUUUUAAAAAAUAUAACACUUAAAAUAUAUUUUAACGGAGGGCACUCGUUAGGCAAACCGUGAGUGUAAACUGGAAAUGAUUAGUACAUGUAAAGGGCUUGAGGCAAUGUGAGGAAAGAGGUGAUUAAAAGACUUAUUCUGGUCAUGAAUCUCAUCUUCCAGAUAAUUGUUGUCAGGCCAUGAGAAUUAGAUAUGGUAAUUAAGUGGAAAAAAAUUGGAAGAGGGAUUUGAAAAUGAGCAAAUAUCAAUAUCAAGCGCAAAUUAUAGUUUAAUUCGUAGGACACAAAUUAAGGCAUUUUCACAAUCCGUUGUAGUGGCUCCCGCGUGAAUGGUCCAGUGGCAGCGCCUCUCACCAGUGCACCGAAUUGAGGUGUUGCUUUCAAAUUUGAGUCAUAGCAUUAGUGAUACUCCAUGAGGGAUCUAUUUCCGGUUUUAGAGCAUUGGGAAGCUGCAAGAAUAGGAUUAGUGGGAUAUACCACGGAUUCACCUAUCCACCAAAUUCUUAGCCACAAAAUCGCAUCCCAGAGAAAUACAUUUACAAGUAGCCACCAGUGAUGACUAUUUCAUAUAUCGGAAUGAUGUUUUACUCUUCUUCAAUUACAAAAUGUAGUCAAAACUAUGUGGUGAAAAUACCUAUUUAGUAUUUACGUCCUCGAGACUCGGUUAACUGGUAGCAUUAGUCGAACCGUGGUGAGAUUUUUUAUUCGACUUUCAAAUUCUUCCUUUUCUUCUUUCUUCCUAGUAAGAUUUAGAGUUUUUCGUCUGGACGGAAAAAAUAUUUUCUCAUAACAGAGUUGCACUUUUAAAUCUCCAGAAAAGAUUAACUUGACAAUUAUUAUGUAAAAUGCACUGUUUUUUCGGCCCUCCCAAAAAAAAAAAAAAAAAUUACGUAUCUACGGAGUUGAUGCCAGUCAAGGCAGUCGAGCCCGACUAAUUUGAAACCAUAUAUAAAAUGAAUCUGACUACGGAAAUUCGUGAUGAGUUGAAGUGUUCAUCAUCUUUGACAGUCAAUUCCUGCCAGCUUCACGAAAUUCCAAAUUCAAGUAUUAACUACUGAGAAUCAAGGUUUUUGACUACGAGUUACUAAAUAAAAAUAAAAUCCCAUGUGCCCAGAAAAAAAAAUAAAAAUAAAAAUCCUAUGUAAACUAGCAAUUAAAAAGUACUGCACAUAAUUUGCCUAUAUCAUCAUUCAAAGUUCAAACAAAAUGCUAUGUGAACUAGCAAUUGUAAGGCACCGCACAUAAUUGCCUAUACCAUCAUUCAUCACCGAUUCAAGCGUUUUCAAUUCAUCUCAACCAACUGAAUCAAGAAUGCAAUUAUACGUUGCUUCAGUGUCAACAAACAAAAGGCCUAGCCAUUCGUUCUCUGUGCUCGUAAACUAUGUUCUUUUUAUUUAUUUUUCCUCUUGUAUUUAUUUGCAUAUAAUAUAUGCAGGGCACUGGCAAAGUCAGCAGCAUUUUACAUCAACAAUGGACAAAAUCUAACAAGUGUUGAGUUCUUGACUCUGACUGCAUUAUAUAAGUCCCUAAUCAGCGGUGGUACACUUGGCAAGCUAAGGUCUAAAAGUGGCCCUUUUUUUCUCUCUCUUUUUUUUUUUUUGGGAUAAAACAGAAGCCAACAUUAUCAAUAAACUAGUUGAAAAUCGCUCGAUACGAUUUGCUUGACAAAGAAAGUUACACAAAUAACAGAAAAUAUAUGGAACAUUUCACAAAUAUAUUUGAUCUAAGAAUCAUUAGACUUAACAGAACUGCAGCAGGACACAAAAUAAUAAUCUGAGCGGGGUAAAACCUAACAUUACGAGCUAUAGAAGUACAGAGAGUUCAUUACUUUGAAGCAAACAAAUAAUAAUGGUAGCUAGUAUAGCGUACGUUAUAGCUUACAUCUUGUUUGAAAUUGCUAGAAGAUGACCAAGAAAUUAAUGCCUACGGCAAGGAUGCAAGAAUACUAGGGUAGUUAGAUUGGGACCAAUGAACAAUACAAGGCUGCUGCAUGUACAGUAGAUCUAUUGUUGGUGCAAUGCAAUCCAUUGAUGUAGACCUAAUAAAUCAUGUGACUUUUAGCUGAGAAACUGAUGAAAACAAUUCUGAGGAAAUGCGUGAAACCAUUGAAGUGGUGCCAAAGACUUCUUGGUUGAGAGAUGAUACAAAGGUUGAAGCAAACCAAUCACGUUUUUAUGGAGGUGGCCCUGGUCAACUGAGCGUACUGAAUCUUUGGUGAUGUCGAAUUCCAGAGUUAUCUUAUGGAUAACCCUGCUUUUUUGACCAAGAAAAUUGUGAUAAAAUAAGGAUUGAAAGAAAAUAGUAGAGGAUGUAACUUGUGAGUCUGAUAAAAUAAGUCUGUAAGUUUGAUAGAAGAUGUAACUUGUAAGUUUGCUUCGAGAGUUGCCAAUUUUUUGAGUUAAAUUUGAAAUUAGAUUUAAUUAAUUAACUUCAAAAGUCUGAUAAAGAAAAAAAUGCAACUUGUAAGUGAUAAAGCAGCCAGAAUUCAAAUGGACAGCCAGAAUCCAAAUGGACAGCCAGAAUUCAACACAUUGGACCCGAAAUUGGUGGUGCAAUUACAUCACAAUCAAAUACGUCGUGGGCCAUCCAUUUUUUGGCAGUUCUAAAGUUGGGCCGUUUUGGAUUCAUUCACAUUGUCCAAAGUCCUACUGUGUACCUAGGUAAGCUUAUCUUUUAGGGUCAAACAACACACUAUUAGAAAAGUUCUUUUUUUUCUGAAGCGUGGAUAUUGUUCGUAAAACCCAAUUUUUUAUUCCCUUUCUCUCUUAAUAAAAAAAAAAAGGUAGAUUUUAUUCGUGUUAAGAAAAAAUAUUAACCAAAGUAAGCGUUAGUCUUUUCUAAGUCUUCAAGUCAUUUAAGAUAAAAAUGAUGUAGAUUAUGAUAGAGAUUGAUCUCUCCAAAAAAAGAAACGUAUAAAACACGAUAAUUUUAUUAUUUUCUUUUUAUCAAUAACAGUGUAAUAAUGUAAACUCUUCUCAGGAGGGUUAUCUUUUCAAUAGCAUUGUCGCCAACGUUUUAAAUAACAAUUAAUAAGACUAAAUCAAGAUAUUUUAUAAAACAAAACUGAUAAGACGGGUAUCAGGUGUCGUACACUGAUAGAAGGGAGGAAGAAAGGACUCGAGAGUUAAAACUAAAAACCUCACGGUCCUGAUCAAUAUCCCGACUAGUUAAGUUAAUUCUUAAGCACGUAUCUAUGAAAUUUUAGAGGUGAUAGCUCGGAUUGAGAUGCCUCUCAGUGGGCACUAGGGAAAAAUUUGACCGGCAGAGUCCAAGAUGCGAAGUUAGAGCUCAAUUUUGGUGUUCUUUAAUAUUAGUAAUAGAGUAGUAAUAAUUCAAACUCCUCUUACGAAGAACAUCUUUUCAGUUGCAUUAUCACUAGUCGUUUGAAUAAUAACUGAUAAAGACCACCAAAAUUUUACCAAAAGAAACUGAUAAGAUGAGAAUCACCUGUCACAGGAGGGAAGAAAGGACAUGAGAGUCAAAACUGGAAACCUCAUAGUCUUGACAAAAAUCUUGACUAGCUGAGUGUGUUCUUACGUGCUUUAUCCAUAGAAUUUUAGAAGCGAUGGCUAGGAUUGACUAUGGAGAUACAUCUCAUUGGGUAGCCAGAAAAAUUUUACUGGCUGAGUCCAAGAUGGGAAGUUGGAGGAGCUCAUUAGGCCAGACAAGGGUCCAGAGACUAUGGGGCACCGUUAUGUUUUAGGCCUACUAUUCUCUUGGUAAUGGGAUUUUUAACUCAGAUCAGAUGUAAUGAAGAACCCUCAAAUUGUAGGAAUUGAAGAGACAGUUUUACACACUCAAAACACAAUAAUUUAAUGGAUAGUCAUUGAUAUGUCCACACAAAGCUGAACAUAAGCUUUAGCAAUUUUAUGCCUUGAUAAAACUGGACCAUCAGCAAUUUUACGAGUAUUAAAAGAAUUGUCACAGCUAAUUAAAGCGUCACUAGCCAUAAGAGCAUCAUAACUUGCCAAAGGAGGAUCUGCUGCCAUAUCUGCGGGUAUGAAUCGCAAUUGGCCAAUGCUUGCGGGAUAGCAAGGAAUGCACUCUUUGAGAACCAGAACUAGUGUUGCAUUUGUGGCUUUGUUCUUGGACAAAUUGGCCAUGUAAACCUCUGUUGUUGUAAGAUUUUGGAUCCCUAAAUCUACUGCAAUUAUCAGAAGACUAGGAUUAUCUUUUGCUGAGGUGCUAUUGGGAUGUGAUUUGAGAACUUUGAUACAAAAUUCCCUGUCUUCACUUGUGCUUCUUUUGUUGCAGAACUCAGUAACAGCUUUGUAUGGUUCAGUUGGUACCAUUCGUGCUGGUUUUGCUGCAAAUGUUGUUGGUGAAUUGAAAAAGAAGAAUGCCAUCAGCACUGUAACACAUGUCAAUUUAUUUCUUUCAGAUGCCAUUGUUUUUUUUCUUGUUUUGGGAGAUGCUGAAGGUGCUUUGCACGAUUGACAACAAUACGGUAAAGUAUUUAUAGGGCAUUAAGUGAAAGCCCUAUAAUAAAUAUCCUCAUAAUUAAAGUUGCCUUAUUGGUUUGUUCAUUGUAUUGAAAGACUACCAAACUUCAUUUAAGUUUAAGUAAAUUUAUUAAAUGCAGAUUUGAAUAGCAGGAAACGUUUGGUUGGUCAAGGUAUAGUCGUCUUGAAUCUUGACGGAGGAGGAUAUUUUGUGCAGUAAAUUAUACUUUUGGUACCUGUUUUUGAACCUUGUCUCGCUUGACCCUCUAUAUAUUUUACUUCACACAUUUAGGUUCCGUUUGAUAAAACUGAAUCUGAAUUCUGAAUUUUGAAGUUUGAAUUCUGAAAUCUGAAUACUGAAAUAAUUAAUUUGUUGAAUUUUAAGCACUGAAAAAAAUAUAUGAAUGUCUGAAUUUUAAUGCUAAACCUAUUUAUACUGUUUGAUAAAUAUUUAUAACUGAAUGCUUAAUAAGUUUAUUUUGACAAUUUUGCCCUUAUAUCCUUUCAUUCAAAAAAGAAAUAGAAUCUAUGAUUUAAUUAGUUUAAAAUUGUUAGGUAUGAAAAUAACAAUAUUUAUUUUUAAAUCAAAUUAAUAUAAAAGAUGAAAUAUAUUAUAUGAGGAGUAUGGAGAAGAUGUGAAAGUCAUUAAAAAGAGAGAAAAAAGAAACUAAAAAUCGUUAGAUAAAGAAUAUUAUGUUAUUUAAUUAGAUAAGAAUUUUGAAUAUAAUUAACAAACAAGGGUAGAUUUGGUAGAUAAGAUAAGGUAGUUGAAGUAAUUCUAUUGAUUCUUAUCAGAAUUAAAUAUUCAGUUAGGAUUGUUGUGUUGAAAAAAAUACACACAGGUUCAGCACUGCUUAACAAGUUCAGCAAAUAGAUUUACAUUUAUCAAGCACUCAAAACAUCUGAAUAUCUAAAAAAAUUCAGAUUCAACACUUUUUAUGUUAUCAAACAGAUCCUUAGUAAGCUAGCACUACAUGAACCACCCCCUCUUUUUUUAACCCUUCCACCCCUCCUUGUACUCUUUUCACCUUCAACUGUCUGGUAUAGGAUUCUAAACCUGAUAAUAAGAAAAAUUCUAAGAGUAGUGCUACAUGAAUUUAAUUUGUUCCAUUGCCGAUGAAUAGCACACACUAUUCGAAAAAAGAUGGAUUGUUUUCACUUUUAUGUGCUGAUAUUUAUACAUAUUCUGACUUAGAUCCUUGAUCUAUUCAAUUGAAUCCAUUUAAUCCCUUGACAGUUAACUUGUGCAUUAAAAAUAAUUGACUCCAUUAAGAAACUAAGUGGCCAUGUGAACAAGUUGCAAAUAUGUCCGAAUAUCGCAUGUUUGCUAAACCAAUACGAGUGCGCUAAAUUCAAAUAAAAUGAGGUUUGAAUGUGUCAACCCAAAAGUAAAUAGGGGACUAAACUGAGAUAACGUAUAAAGAUCAGGUAUCCAAUGUGUAAUUUACCCAUCAAUCUUUAACAAACAAGAUCACUAUUCAUAAUGUUAAUGUAUAUAUGUUAAUUUCCACAUUUAGUGUAUCAAUCACUCUAUUAACAUCAAUUAUUGUUAAUGUAAAUAUGUUAAGUAGCCUAUUAGCAUCAAUUAGGGAUUUUCUUUAUAUAGUCUAGUUUAGAUUCAAUUUAAUAAUUGCCUAGAUUCAUUUUGUAUAAACUUAUAAUUAUAGGCAUAAUCCUUGUAUGUGACUAUGAAAAAUACAUAACAAUUUCUCCACAUAAGAUGAAGUGGUUUUCGUUAGAAUCCAAACCAAAUAAAAGCAAGUAGAAACAUGUCGAACACAAACCGGGUUAAAAAUUAAAAAAAAUCCCUGUGGUAUAUCUAAUAUACAGAAAAAUCUCUUGUGAUUUCAAAACAUAGAAAACGACACUUCAUGUUUUGAAUUAAAUUGUAAACUAACAGAAUUCGUAAAACUUAACGGAAUCCGAUAAACUUAACGAUAAACUUAACCGAAUCCAGUAAGUUUAACAGCCGAAACCGUCAUUUUCGUUAACUUUAACGAAUUUUUUUAGUUUACAAUUUAGUUCAAAACAUGAGGUAUCGUUUUGUAUAUUUUGAAAUCACGAGGGGCUUUUUUGUAUAUUAGAUAUACCACAUGGAGCUUUUUUUUUUUUUUAACCCUAUGAAACCGCUGAGGAUGGGAUCCAAGAGAUAGUACCAUUGCCAAAAUAUCUUCUAACAAGGAAGAAAUUGCAUACUAGAGUCUAUAAAUCCUUUGCUUUAUAGUGAUACAAAAAGACCACAAACAGAAAACAUAUGCAAAUAUAUUGAUCAUUCUAAGAUUAUUAGUACAUCCAUGAAAAUGUAUCUCAAGAAAAGAUAGAUAAUCAAUUAAAGACUUAGCCAAGAACAUUUUUGGUUCUGUAAAGACGACAAAAAAGUGAAACCACAAAUAUUCGAAUUGACUCCUCCCAUAAGAACUAGUUAAAUGCAUAACAAGGUCGUCAGCCUAGAAAGAAAUAGCUUGCAGUGGAGAAACCAUUUCCUCCAUAACAUAGAAACCAAAUUUAACAUAAUUUAAAUGCUCUUUGAAAUCUCCUCAACAAGCCUUCCAUAAUCUAUAGCUAUCUUCUGCCUGGAUAAAAUCGAAUCAUCAGCAACCUUACCAAGCUUCAAAGAGUUGUCACAACUGUUUAGCUCUUCAUUAGCAUGAUGAGCAUCAUAACUUGCCAUUGGAGGAUCAUCCAACAAAUCUUGAGUUAUAAGCAACAAUUGAGUAACGCUUUCAUCAAAUGCUGAAAUGCACUCUUUUAGGACCGGCACUAGUGAUGGUUGUGUGUCUGUAUUCGUGGACAAAGUAGUGAAAUAGUCUUUUGUUUUCUUGGCAUUUCCCACUGCAAAAUCUAUUGCAAUUUUUAGAAGACUAACGUUAUCUUUUGCUGUGACACUAACCGGACUGGAACUCUCACACAAAAAAGCUCGGUCUUCGCUUGUGACCCUUUGGUUGCAAAAAUCAGUGACUGCUUUGUAUGGUUCAGGUGGUGCUUCUGCUUGUGUUUUCUCUGAUUUUUCUGCUUUAGCAUCACCAUUGUUUCCUGCUGCAUAUGUUAUUUGUGAGUUGAAAAUCAAGAAUGCCAUAAACAUUCCAACACAUAGAAAAGAAAUUGAUUUCUGCGAGACACCGUCUUUGGAGAUCCUAAGGGGGUGCUCACAUCAAUUGAAGCUUGCACGGUCGAAGACCAAUUUAGUCCUAUAUUUAUAGUUGAACUAGAGAAAGAUUUGAAUUUUUUUUUUGUGGGGAAUGUACACUGCAAAUGUAACCUAUGGCUUAAAUAGUAGCUACCUUAAGGUUUUCAAUAAAGAAAAUGGCAUUACUUGUGAGUACUUAUGCCGUGUAUUGAAAGAAUUUUUAACUCCAAUUUAACACUUUACGAAUGAAAAUCAAUUAAAUGAAGGUCCCAAUAGGAUUAAUAAGCCAAAAGAAUGUUUCUAUUGAAAUUGGAGACUAACAGAAAAUUUUGUGCAGAUCUCAUAAGCUAAUUAACGUGUCCCAAAAGGGUUGCUUUGACUAACAACAAAUUCGUAGAAAUCAAGUGUAUAUUUGUCAAAUUGGUCUUCAUCUAUGCACAAGAAAAAAACAACACACAAACAGGCACACAACAAAACAAUAAAAGUAGAAGAUUAAACACAAUAUAUACAGGUGUAUUUUUUUCCCCUUGAUUUUAAUUACCUUUAGUUUCUUUAAAACUAUUCUAAAUCUAGAUAUAUUUUUGUUCUUAUCUUUUUUUUUUUUUUUGGCAUUCUUAUAUUUUCUUAAAAUUGUUUGAUUGUAGUUGACUCUUCUAGUUGGCGAAUUGUAUUUUACUGAUCAUGCUUUACGAAUUCAAUCUAAUUUUUCUAAUAAGCCACAAAAUUAAUUUAGGUUGAACACUUACAUCUAGCUAGAAUUAACUGAAGACACACACAUUACAAUUCAAAAAGGGUAAACUAAUAACACACAAAUAUUGAGGAGGAACGCUAGCAUUUAAUUAUAAUAAACUCACAUUUGAUGAGAUUUGAAUUACAUAUCUAAUUCUUGAAAUUUCAAUCUUAGUUAUGAUUGUCACAACCUAACAAUUAUACGUCAUAGCCUGUAUCCUUUUUAAUUGCGUUUGUUGAAUUAUGCCAACUAAUGCAAGGCAUUUAAUUGUACUGAAAAAUAGUAAUCGAUGUCUCACGAUCAGUGAUCUAUUCUUUUGAAAAUAGUAAUAUCUGUCAACAGGUAUCUUGAGAGGAAAACAUCUAAUCACUAUAUUAUGAGUGACCAACUAGUAUUUAUACGAGUACAACCCUAACAAACUAUUUAUAAAAAUACCCUUACUAAUUUAUUAUCUACAAUAAUACUUAUAUUCUCUUAACACUCCCCCGCAAGUUGGAGCAUAUAUAUCAUAAGCACCCAACUUGUUACAAAGGUAUUUCACCCUAAAGCCCCCUAAGCUCUUGGUAAACACAUUAGCCAAUUGAUCUACAGACGGUACAUGAGAUGUCUUGAUGACCCCGUCAAGCAAUUUCUCUCGAAUGAAAUGACAAUCAACUUCAAUAUGUUUUGUCCUUUCAUGAAACACUGGAUUAGACGCAAUAUGAACAGCCGCCUAAUUAUCACACACUAAAUUCAUAGGUUGUUUAUGCUCAAACCCAAGUUCAAGUAACAUGCUCUUCAACCAAACCAACUCACACACAGUGUGAGCCAUAGCGCGGUAUUCAGAUUCUGCACUUGAUCUGGAUACAACUGUUUGCUUCUUACUCUUCCACGACACUAAAUUACCACCAACGAACACACAAUAUCCUGUAGUCGAUCUUCGAUCUGAGGCAGAACCAGCCCAAUCUGCAUCACUAUAUCCUUUAAUAUCAGCGUGUCCAUGAUUUUGAUACAGCAACCCUUUUCCAGGAGCACUCUUAAGAUACCUGAGAAUCCGUAUAACAGCAUCCCAAUGACUAGUACGAGGGGUAUCAAGAAAUUGACUCACAACACUCACUGGAAACGAAAUGUCAGGUCUCGUUACAGUGAGAUAAUUUAAUUUACCCACAAGUCUUCGAUAUUGCUUAGGAUUAUCAAAUAAUGCACCUUGAUCUCCUGCUAAUUUCACAUUGGGAUCCAUAGGAGUAUCCACAGGUCGGCAACCUAACAUCCCAACUUCACUCAACAUAUCGAGUACAUAUUUCCUUUGACAUAAAUAAAUCCCAUAUUUAGACCGAACCACCUCAAUACUCAGAAAAUACUGUAGAUGACCUAAAUCCUUUGUCUGAAAGUUUGCCUGCAUAUUGGAUUUAAGCUUCUGGAUCCCCACAACAUCAUCACCUGUAAUCACAAUGUCAUCCACAUAAACAACUAAUAAAAUUUUACCAGCAUUAGAAUGCCGAUAAAAUACAGAAUGAUCUACUCCACAUCUUGUCAGACCGAACUCCAUGACAACACUACUAAACCGGCCAAACCAAGCUCUUGGAGACUGUUUCAAUCCAUAUAAGGAUUUUUUCAAACGACAAACCAACCGCGGAUUCUCCCCCUGAACAACAAAUCCAGGAGGUUGUUCCAUAUAUACCUCUUCUUCCAAAUCUCCAUGCAGAAAUGCAUUUUUCACAUCCAACUGAUGCAAUGGCCAAUUAUAAGUGGCUGCCAAAGAGAUAAGAAGACGAACAGAUGUAAUCUUUGCAACAGGAGAAAAUGUUUCUAAUUAGUCCACUCCAUACACUUGAGUAAAUCCUCUAGCUACCAGGCGAGCCUUUAAUCUAUCAAUAGAACCAUUAGGCUGCACUUUUAUAGUGUACACCCAUUUACAACCAACAACAGGCUUACCUGAAGGACGAGGGACAAGAUCCCAAGUACCAUUUUGUUCCAAAGCAGACAUCUCUUCUUGCAUGGCUAAUCUCCAACCAGGAUGAUUAAGAGCAUAGGUAAUAGACUUAGGAAUGGAGAUAGAAUCAAGGGAAGCAACAAAAGAAGAAUAUGACAUAGAGAGAUGAGAAUAAGAAACAAAAUUAGAAAUAGGAUGGGAAGUACAAUGUCUCUUACCUUUGCGUAAAGCAAUAGGAAGAUCUAACUCAGAGGAGGGCGUCAUACCUGGAUUUGAAGAGUGAGAGUUAAUUGGUGAAGUGCGUGGCAUAUCAGGAACUUUCUCAACCAUGGAACGACGAGAGUAAACUUGAAGAUGAGGACGAGAUAAUCGAGCUAUGGAAUCUGGUGGAUUAGAUAACUCAGGUAAUAAAGGGGAAGGGACUGGUAAAACAGGAGAGGAAAAAGAGUGACACUGGUCUAACUCACAAGACAUACUUUGUUUGAUAAAAUAUGGAGUGGAUUCAAAGAAAGAAACAUCAGCACAAGUAAAAAAUCGAUUUAAAACUGGACUGUAACAUCUAUACCCUUUUUGCGCUCGUGCGUAUCCUAAGAAAAUACACUUAAUAGCACGAGAAUCUAAUUUAUCCACCCCGGGAGCAAGCUGAUGAACAAAGCACACACAUCCAAAAAUACGAGGAGGCAAUUUAAACACAGGUUCAUGUGGAAAAAGAAUGGAGUGAGGUAAUUGGCCUCCAAGAAUAGUAGAUGGCAUGCGAUUAAUUAAAUAACAUGCAGUUAGAACUGCAUCACUCCAAAAUUGUUUGGGCACAUUCAUGUGCAACAUAAGUGUCCGAGCAACCUCGAUUAAGUGUCCAAUCUUUCUUUCAGCAACUCCAUUCUGUUGUGGAGUGUGAGGACAAGAGGACUGAUGAAUAAUACCGGACUUAGUCAUGAAGGUAUUAAAAGGAGUGGAAAAAUAUUCUUUCGCAUUAUCACUGCGAAGUAUACGUACAGAUACACCAAAUUGAUUCUUUAUUUCUGUAACAAAUGCACAAAAAAUGGAAUAUAGUUCUGAACGAUCUUUCAUUAAAUAAAGCCAUGUAACUCUUGAAAAAUCAUCAACAAAGAUUACAAAAUAUUUAAAACCUAACUUUGAAGUGACUCGACUAGGACCCCAAACAUCAGAAUGAACUAACAAAAAGGGUUCCGAAACCCGUUUAUUGACCCUAGGGGCAAAAGAAACACGAUGAUGCUUUCCUAAUUGACAAGACUCACAUUCUAAUGAAAACAACUGACUCAAGGUAGGAACCAACUUCUUCAAAUUUUGUAGAGACGGAUGACCCAAACGACAGUGAAUUUCAAGAGGAGAAACAGUAGCAGGACACGCAAUCGGACCAUUAGAGUUGAGAAAAUAAAGACCAUUAUGCUCGCGCCCUCCACCAAUCGUCCUCUUUGUCUUCAAAUCCUGAAUAACAACAAAAUCAGGAGAAAAAAUAACUGAACACUGUAGAAAUUUGGUAAGCUUACUAACGGACAUUAGAUUAAAAGGCAAAUUUGGUACGUAAAGAACAGAAGGCAGCGGAAGAGAUGGGUUAAUUUCUACAGUGCCUAGUCCUUUAACUUUAGUUGUAGAUCCAUCAGCUAAAGUAACAUGAGGGAAGGAAGUAGACUCUUGAAAAUUAGAAAAAUUUCUAGAGGUACCUGACAUAUGAUCAGUAGCUCCGGAAUCAAUGAUCCAUGAGUCAAAAUUUUUGGAAGUGGAGAGACAAGCCAUAGCAUUACCUUUUUGUGCUAAAGAAGCAGAGGGAAGAGAUGCGUGAUUUGCAGUUUGGUACUGCAGAAAUUUGACAUAAUCUUUCUCGGAUAUGGUAAAAGUUUUCUGGGACCCUUGUGCUGAAGAACUUGAUUCAGUUUGGUCAAUGGUAACCGCAUUAGCAAACCGAGGUGGUUUUCCAUGUAAAUCCCAACAAGUAUCAUGAGUGUGAUUCUUCAAACCACAAUGAGUGCACUCACGGGUGCCUCGACCUCCACGACCCCCACGACCUCCUCUACUUCUUCCUCCACGAGAGCCACGUCCCAAGUUAAGUUGCUCUAUCCGACCAUUGUUAGAGCACCAUCACCCUGUGUUUUGUCCUUAGAUGCAGAACGUAAGACCCGAGCAUAUGCCUCUGCAAAGGAUGGUAAUUGUUCACCUGCUAAAAUUUGAGAUUUUAUUGGUUCAAAUUCUGGUUUGAGACCGGCCAAGAAUUUGAGCACAAGCAUUUGUUCUCUUUGCCUCUGCAUAACUGUAAUAUCACUUGAGAGAGGCAUUACGGCAUUUAAUUCUUCUGAAACUCGCUUCAGAUCAGCAAAGUAUUCAGUUACUGUCUUGUUAUCUUGUUGCAACUGAAAAUACUCCAAAGAAAUAUCAUACAUCCGUGAAAGAUUACUACAGUAUAAUAACCGGACAUAAUCCCAAACUUCUUUUGUUGUCUCACAAUGAGAACACAUGUAAGCAAUUCGUGGCUCCAUAGAAUUCCAUAUUGCUCCAAGAAUUUGGGCAUCCUCUUGAAUCCACACUAGUUUCUUGUUGUUCUCCGUAGGAGAGUCAUCUGUGAGAUAUCGUUGCUUUCCUAAGCCUGUCAGAUAAAUCUUAACGGCUUUUGACCACUGUUGAUAAUUAGUGUCAUUCAACUUUCAAUUUGUGAUUUGAGGCAUCACCAUUGGCAUAAUAUUAGUAGACGUUACAAUACCUUUUGAUAGACUUUCAGCCAUAGCGAAUAGCACUUCAAACCAAACGAAGGGUCAAAACUCGAGAUGAACAGCGCGUGAACAGUGCCGUGAACAGUGAACAGCGCCGCGUGAACAGUGUCGCGUGAACAGUGCCGUGAACAGUCCCGAUGAACAGUGCCCCCCGCGUGAACAGUCGCGGUGAACAGUAUCGCGUGAACAGUCGCGAUGACCAAAACUUUUGCUAGAUGUUUAACCCUAACCCUAGGACUUUUGCUCUGAUACCAUAUCAACAUGUAUCUUGGGAGGAAAACAUCUAGUCACUAUAUUAUGAGUGACCAACUAGUAUUUAUAGGAGUACAACCCUAACAAAUUAUUUACAAAAAUACCCUUACUAAUUUAUUAUCUACAAUAAUACUUAUAUUCUCUUAACAAUAUCUAUAUUAAUGAAUGGUUAGAAAACAGAUAGUAAGUUGUUUAGCACACCAAAACAUAUAACUUGUACGCCUACCAGUUAACUUGUCUCGUGUUCUUCAUAAAAAAAUUCACCUAUGAAAUUAUUGUUAGAAUCUAGGUAUAAUCUUCUUUGAUUGAUUAUCUGUUUAGCAUUAUUACCUUAUUUAUUUUGCUGAUAUUAUUUCUUGGUCAAAUAUAGUCUGGUAUUUGAUCUGUAAUAGAUAAAUUUUCAGAUUAAUAUGUGCAAGAUCCAAUAUAAUCAUAUCGCAAAGGAUGCCCAUUGUUGUUUACCAAAGAAGCGCCAUUAUCGUUUAACAAAUUAAAGAAGCUAAACCUCUGUCCAGUCACUGGGAGCUUGCUCCAAAAAGGAUGAAAAUAUAAUGAAGAAAUAUCAUUUGGAGCUUGAAGAAGUUCGUGGGAAGCUGAAAACAAAGAGUGUUUCUGCUGGUAUGCUUUUAUCUGAUUCUUGAAGGGCUCAAUAUAAGAAAAGAAAAAUUGGAAUACAACUAAACAGGAAAGUGCGUUUAAGAGAUCAUGAAAUUAACUAGUAUUGAUUUUGAAGCAACCUUUAACACCAGUAAUUAUAGUAAAUUCUGCAAAUGUUUGGGGAAGUGAAUCAUCAUCCCUUUAUGUGCUAGGACAUUGUAAAAAACAAGAGGGCAUAAAUUAAUUUCUCUCUUUUUGAACAAGAAAGAGCAAUUGUCAUCUAAAUACUAAGGGACAGCUCCUCGUACAGCCGAGCGUAUUCUAUUGCAAUUUGAUGUCUAGAAGUAAUUGAACCAUCAACGAUGUUAUUUUUGGCCAAAGUUUCUUUGCACUUGUUUAGCUGCUUUCUUGCGAUAUGGGCAUCGUAGCUAACCAUGAGAGGAUCAUCAUCCAAAUCUUGAAUUACAAGGCGUAAUUGUCUAAUGCUGCCAUUAUAUGCCAAACUGCAAUUUUGGAGGGCUCCCUUCACUUGUGGACUUAUUGUUUUACUCUUGGAUUUGGUGAUGAUGAAAUUCCUUGUUUUCUUGGCAUUGGUCACUGCUAAUGCUACUGCGAUUUUCAGGAAUGCAGGGCUAUCCUUUGCUGAAGCACUUGUAGGAAAUGAAUUCAGAACUCUAUUGCAAAAUACUCUUAUCACUGGAUGUUUUUCUCUGGUUGCAAAAUUCAUCAACAGCAUUGGAUUUUGCUGCCUGGUCUUCUUCUUCUGCUGCAUGUGUUGGUGAAACGAUUAAAACGGGUACUACCAAAAGCGUCACACCAAGUUUAGGACUGAACCCCAUCUUUCUUUUUGAAGCUUUGGGUAAUAUGCAGCAAGCAAUUAGGUAGGGGAUAGGCCUUCAUAUAUAUUUAUUGGGAAAACUUGAAGGAAGCAAUUUAAUUGCACCUCUAUUACUUGUAACUUACUAAAUUUAAUGUUUUGAUAGAGCUAAAUUUAAUAUCAGAAGUUCACAUUAAUUUAAUGUCUUCAAGGAAUUAAAGUGGCUUUAUAAGGGUGUGUCUUAGAGAAAUUAAGAGGUACUGCUAUUUAGUAAGAACUUUUUCUAGUGAUGGAAUAAGGGAAGGAUGAGUUUAAAAUCCCAAACUAGUUGAUUCUACCACUGGACUAGCUUAGCACUUUAGCUCCCAAUUUCUUAAGAAGUUGGAAAAGACAGAAACCUCCCUUGAGGUUUGUCAUAAUAUCACUCAAUUCCUCUCAAGUUUUUAAAAUUUCGCUUACUUUCCUUGUCAACUUGACAAGACUAAAUAUUUCUAUCAAAGGUCAUAAAUUGACAACAUCACCUUUGCUCUUAAUAACUAUUUAAUCAAAAAGCGAAAACAAAAUAAAAGUUUAAAAGCAAAAAAUGUAAAUUUAAAAAAAUUGCUAGCUAAUAAUGUUAUAUAUUUCUUUACAUUGGGGUCAUGGUGGGAUAGCAAAAGACGUGGACAAAUUAAAUCUAAUCAAGAUCAACCACUAAGGAGAAUUUUGGAGAGUAAUUAACACCUUAAAAAAUUUCGUGCACAGUUAAAAUUAAGGAAGUCAAAAUGUUUUUUUGAGAAAUAUGUUUUAAUUCAUGGUGUAAUUUAAGUUGCAUUGAAAGCUAAAAUAAUCUCUUCAUAUGUGUGAUUUUCAAGGUGUAAAUUUUUCUCUUUUGUUCUAAUACAACUAAAAUAAAUAAUUUACAUCAAGAAAUUUACACCUUAUAAAAAUUUAACCUUAUCUUAUUUUUGAUUGUUAUUAUAAAUUCCAUAAGUAGGAUAACAUAAGGGUAGUAUUGGAAUAAAAGUUUCAUCUUUCUUGUAUUUCCUCCAAAGGGGUUAAAAUAUUACAAGAAAUGUCAAUUCAAGGGAAGUAAGUGAAAUUUUAAAAACCUCAGGAGAGUUAAGUGAUAUUAUGAAAAACCUCGGGGGUGGUUUCUGAAAUUAUUCCAUAUAUAUAUAUAGUUCUAUUAAGCAAAAAUGUUAGGAGAUCAGCAAAAUUCUGCCUGGACUAAAUUAAACCAAGUGAAAUCUCUAUGUAUUAGGUUGGGGAUGAAUACAAAGGACUCUACCUUUUCUGCCCCCCAAAAAAAAUCCAUAAGUUAUGUAUCUGAACAUCGGCCCAAAAGAAGAUAGCAGUAACUUUUACCUAACAGGCUGAUUUAGAAAGUACAUAGUCCCAACACACUAUUGAGAAGCCCAUCGUGCACUUACUCUUCGUGGGUAUUUACAAGUGUUUCCUUUUUCUCGAGUGACCACAAAAACAUGCAAUGCAAAAUCUCACGAGUCUUCUGCAAGGGUCGGCAUUGGACAAAGAAAAUUUUUGAAAUUUACAAUUAUAUUGUUGUAAAAAUCGAAUUUGGCAGCCAAAAGUUGUACUACAAACGUUUCGGAGGUUUGUAUCUCGAUUAGUUACUUUGGGCCCCAAGUUUCAUCUAAUGUAGUCUUCCAUGUUUUUUUUUUUUUUUUUUUUUUGCCAUCACAGAGGUAUCUGGGUUCUCGGACGGAUAAUAUCUAAUGACCCAACUAAUCCUCUGCGGGUAGGGAGAGGCUGUCGAGCUUUUUCACCUACCGCUUUACCCGGGGUUCGAACUUGUGCGGUGGUACUCCCCCAACUGGGGUACUACCACCAGCUCUAGCCCCGGGGGCUUGUCUUCCAUGUUGUUGAUGAGAGCAAACAUAUUACUUCACUGUUGAAUGAACAACUCUCUCCUCAAAAUUAACUCAUUAGAAAAUGAGCUACAACUUGCUCCAAAAAAAAAAAAAAAGAAUAACAAGAUGAAUUUCAUAGAAUGACAAGAUUAUUUUCUAGUAUGUUUGUCAUGCACUUUGUGUAAAUCUUUAAGUACCAAAAAAAAAAAAAAAAAAAAAAAGUACGUAAAAAGCAUGAGAAACCAAUUGUCCAGGUGAUGUAGAUUUUUUUCAUUUUCUUUCACAACCUUGUACUUAAUUGCUUGGUAUUGAAUCAAUAUGUGAAUAUUCUUCCCAAUCAGGGAUCCAAAAUCAUUUGCAAAAGCUUUCAAUGCACUAAUAAUAUGGUAUCCUCAAAAUCCUUCCUGUCUCUCAAACAUAGUCCAUGCUAGUUCAUCCAGCAUAUUGACUCAAUUAAACAAGAUAUGCAAGGUCCUCAACAAGAGCACCAUAUUCCCCAGCAAUUCUGCUUCUGUUCGAGAUUAGUGGUUCAGAAAUUUUUCUAGUAACCAGCAAACUUUGACAGCCUCGUAUUUCUUCAUUGACCACACGAGCAUCUGAAUCCACCAGAGAAGAUGUCGGUUUCUCAAGCAUAGCUGAAAAUUCAUUCACCACAACCACAUAGAUAUCAAUGCACUCUUUCAGAACUGAUUUCAUGGUUGGCUUUGUGGCCUUGAGCUUCGAACUUUUGCUCAACGUAUCAAUGAUUUUCUUGCCAUUGUCUAAUGCCGCAUUUGUUGCAAUUUUCAGAAGCGUAGCGUAAUCUUUUGCUGAGGAUCUGAUUUCAAAACAAAAAGGCAAAAGUCUCUCGCGCCACUAGUUCUUCUUCGCUUGCUGCAGAAAUCUAUCUAUCACUAGUUUAUACUUCAUCUUCUUGUGGUGCUUUUGCUAUUUUUGGCGCUGAUGCUGUUUUAGGUGAUUUUGCUGCAGGUGGUGGUGCUGGUGUUACUUUAGGUGCUUCUGCAAAUUUUGGCGGCUGUGCUACUUUAAGAGCUUUUCCUAUCUUUGGUGUUUGUUCUACACCUUAGGUGCUUUUCCACAUUUAAGCGUGUCUGCUUCUUUAGGCGCUUGUUUUGUUUUUGGUGCUUGUGCUGCUUUAGAUGCUUUUUCAGUCUUGGGUGUCUCUACUUCUUUUGACGCCUGUUUAUCUUUUUGGUGUUUUCCCUACUUCAGGCAAUUAAUACCCGUGAGAUUUCAAUGUGGCUGCUAUGAGAACUAACUAGUUUUAGAGGAAUUAAGACUUCAAUGUCAAUGUGGUUUGUUAUGAGAACUAACUAGUUUUAGAGGAAUUAAGAUUUCAAUGUUUACGACGAGAACCAGAGGCCUGCCUUACUUAAUACCGGCAUUGGUUCAAGUACUUCAUAACCGUAGAAUUCCGUUUCGCACAGCUUUUGGUAUAAAAGGGAGGAGACUGGCAAAAGGAGCACAUGAGUCCCACACCUAUGUGGAAAUCGAACUACAUGCAUCUUAUCUCAUGAAAUUUACCUGCAGUUUUGGUUCCUAGAGGAACAAAAAAAUGCCGUAUUCCAGGAGGAAAAAGACAGCACAAAAUUAUUCAGUUCUGAUUCAAAUAUCUUGUGCAGACCCAAAAGACUGACUAAUGGAAAAGUGAAUCAGAGAUGCAAAUAUUCCACAUCCGAAGACACCCUGGAAUUGCCGAAUACUACUUACUAUCAUUACACGAUAUGGAGAAAAAGAACUUUACUUCUAUUAUGGCUGAACAAGCAUUGCCGAUUUACAUCAUCAAUAAUUCUUGGCUUAGAGUCGAUAAAUAAUUUCAGAUCUGAAUCGCACUUCUUUACACCGAGUAAAGCAAAGCUCUGAAGUUCCAAAUUCACAUAAGCAAACAGAAUUUAGGGGGGAAAAUCAACAGGAAGUGAAGAUAGGAAAUAUAAUGCACACUACAAAGAAUGGAAAAAGCCCAUUUCCCUCUCAUCAUUUCAAGCAAUUACACACACGCGCACACACACACACACACUCCCUUCGCUGCUUUCCCAAACACAUAUGAGCCAGUAUCCGCCAGAGGAAGGAGGGACAAAAGCCAAUGAAAGAAAUCAAAGGGGGCAAAAAUAUUGUUACCGAUUUUGGCCUACAAGGGAAGUUAGAUUUGAUGCGCUAAAUGUGAAUAAAUGGCAUCUUCCUCCUCAAAACAGAAAGCAAAAGAAGUAACCUUGUGCUUAGCUCCUUAAAUCAACUUUACAAGUUAUUGAUAUGCUUCUUUAGAAGUAGCAUGGCCACGACUCUCUACAAUAUUGGAGUUCAUGCCAAGGACCUCUGGAGAAAUUUCCCAGCUCUCACUUCUCCUUCCCCUACUUGAAUGCCGUGUCUCUGCUUGAACCGUUGGAGCUCGUCUAUCUGAACCAAGCACAGAAUCAGCCUCGGAGGAAUUAUGGUGGAUCACAUCACUGCCUCUGCUUCUAAUAUCUGCUUCAAUGUCUUCAAUAUUAUGGCGUUGUGAGAUCUUUAGCAGAUCACCACCAAUGUCUAAAUCAUCCUCUACCUUUACUCGUCUACCCUCACCUACAUCUUCUAUUUCAACUUCCCUAGUAGGGGGCAAAGUUGCCCUUGGUGCCUCCUGUGCAAAAGCUCGGAAAUUGUUCCUAGAAGGCUUCACCUUAGUGCAAAACACUUCAAGGAAGUUAUUCAGACAACCACGAUCAUAGACAUUGGCCCUGCUUUCAGCUCUGUAGCGGAAAUUCUCGUACGUAGUCUGACAAACAAGGAAAAAAUCAACAACUGAAAAGUGACAUAAAACAUACAUAACAUCAGAAGAACACCAGUAAUCUCAGUAAGGAAAAAAAAUCUCCCCAGAACAAUAAUGGAAGUAUCAAAAUCUAAAAGGCCAACCUCUUAGAGCCAGAAAAAAAAUAUCAACAUAAAUGGGGCUAGUAAAUGAUGCCACUUCGUAGAUAAACUGCCACUUCAUAACAAAAACCAAACUCUAAUGUUAUUAAACCCAAUGGCAGGCAACGGAUUUAUCUAAACUUGACCACGCUUGGUUUCUUUUAUUUUCCAUUGUCAACUUCUAACCAAAUCAAGUGCACCGCGACCAAAAAUAUUAAAUCACAGUCUAAAGCAUUUUAUAUCCUAGAAGGACAAUGAUUGGCCAAAGCAUAAGUUUCCUUUCUCAAGUGUUUGCUUGAUGGACCGUUCUUGCCAUGAUAGUUUUGCAGACAACAGAAAAAGGACAAAAAGAGAAUAAUUUGAACAAAAGAGUACCAAUACACAAAGAAAAAAUUUAGCAGAAACCCAUGGUAUCUAUAAGAGUUUCAUUGUCAAAUCCUAUUCCAAGUUCUAUGCAAAGAACAUGUUGAAAAAAAUUCUUGUUGCAGCUGUACUAUAAGUUAAAAGACUUAACCUGCCAUUACCCUCAAAUAUAAUCAAGCUACAUGAUUGAAGACUAGAUGACACUUUAUCUGGCAUACUUGUUAUUUCUUGCUAUUCAUUUUUAUGAGGAAAAGAGUAGAAUGGAUAAAUAUUACUUAGAGAGAGUAUCAGCCGGAUAGAGUCAGGGAGACAACCAUUACUCCUACGAGUGUCCGAGACAUAAUGACAAAAAUCCAUAUAAAAAACAUAAAAAAUUAACAUCAUGAUGUUGGAAGAAUAAGAAACAUGACAUUCUAUGAAUUAUUAGCAUAUACUUGUAACAGUUACUUUAAACUGCAGGGUCAUCAAGUAUGAAAGCAACGUGUGGGACGUGAAUAGGCAAGAAAGCCAUCCUCGUAGCAACUAGGCGAGCACACCAACAAUGUGAAUUGCAAAAACACCUCCAGGCAACUAAUGAAAGUAAAACCAACAGUGCAAGAAAGCAACAAUGAUAACUCUAUUAGCUCACAAGUAGAUCUUUCAUUUGUCACUUUUCUUUUAAUGGCUUUUUGAUUCUCAAAUUACGGCAAACUGCUAACAAGUAACCUUUUUUGGUGCCUGAACAUCCACUUUGAAAGGCUUCUCAAAAUCAGCAACUUUAGGGGUUAAAAGAAGCCUCACUAGAAUCAAAUCACAGACUAGAAAAUUUAGGAAAGGAGACUCAUGGGGUACCAGCCCAUUCCCAGCCUGGGCAAUGUGAGAUAGUGACAAGAUCCCGACUCAAACACCAUAUUUACUUUUUAUAUGCUCUACGUAGCGUGGGAAUCAAGCUAUAUGAUUUUAUAUUUCUACUCUUAUACUAUCUUUUUGCAUUAGAUAUCCAACCAAAUGUUAUUCAUACAGAAUCUGUUCAAUCAUACAGCACACAGUGACUAAGUCUUUUAAAUUACAAUGACGGAACUACAACAAGAAGAGCAUAAUUCCAGUACAACUCAGAUUAUUGAACAUUACUAAUAUUAUAAACCCAAACAAGUCAGUAGAUAUUUAUGUCCCAAAUUUUUCUUCCACUGAAUCCCCAAUAAACAAAUAAAGAAACAACUCCUAACCAGCUAAAUCAUUUCAACCAUAAGAUGCAGCAGCUAAUCCAAAUAUAAAGUAACAAGAGAAAGCAGCUAACCUGAUUUGUGCUUAUGAGAUACAAGUGAAAGCCAGUGAGUCCACCAACAAACCACAAGGAAAUAAAACAAUAUGCCAUUAAAAUCACUGAUGCAGGAGACUCUUUCAUUGCCUUCCAAACUGUGCCAUGAUGGUCAUCCAUCAAAAUUUUGAUGUACAAAGCCGACAGGGCAAACACAUAGAUGCACAGGAGUGUGGCGGAUGACACAAAACAAAAGAAGUAGCGAUAGUUGCGCUGCAGAUCAUUAAAGGUAACGCAAAAUUAAUAGCGAUCAUAUGCCAAAGGUGCUAUCAAAAUGCUAGAAAGAUACCAAUGUAUCAAGCAGCAUACCAAUCCUAUGCACUGGCCAACCCAAGGGCAGUGAUGAUCAAAUCGCUCUACACAGUUGUCGCAGGUAGAGCAGUGAGAGCAACGGGGAGGGCGAUAGAGCAUGCAUGUAUCACAGUAUUUUACUCUGACAGGAAUUCCGUUAACCAUCACUUCUUUGGUUCGCGGAAACUGAAGACUCGGUGUUUGUCUUCCCCCAAUCUCCACUGAUGCUGAAGUGUCAUAACGGAACUCUUCCUCUGGAGGAUGAGCAUUACGAGGAACAAUACCUGGAUCCCUAGCAGAUGUAAGAAGCAGUAGCACCAAUACCUAGCAAAAUUAACCACAGGAUCAUUCCCAAAAUCAAGAAUUUCUCUGCAAGAAUUCAUGAGCUAAGAUCUCCCAAUAGUUUUAGCCAAAAAGCCAAUAAUUUAAUAGGAUUUAAAACCUAAAGUCUUAACAUCUUAAGAAUGAAAAAUCACCACCACAAAUGCUUAGCACCAACUUUAAGAUAUGAAAUUACGGAUUCAAAAUCAUGCAGAAAAGAAACCACUUCCACAUCCCAAGUACCAUUAGGUGUGCACAAUAUGUAUAGCAUAUCAUGGGUCUAGAGCAAUCAAACUACAGCAUUUUGCUUCACCGAGAAUCACCCAUGUCAUUUUCAGACGGUUAAUGUCAUGAUAUGAGCAACACCAAUAAUUAACAUAUCCCUUUACUACUUAUGUCAAAUUACUAACUUAUGAAACAUUCCCAAUGCCAGGCACAAUUACAUAAAUAUAAGAAUCAUAUAACCUCAAUAGCAAUUCUCUUUAAUGCUUUAGCACUACAUUCUCAACUGCUGAAAAGGUUGAUGCCGUAUUAGGAAAUGAUCAGCAAUCUGAUCAUUGAAAGCAAUAAUACAACUUAUGCAGGCUAAGCAACUUGAUGACCAAGAGACCAUGAAUAUCUCUUCAUUCACCAUGAUGCAGCAUGCACGACAAAUGAUUAUCAAAAGUUGCUAGAAUACUUUUACAUAUGUGCUUAGAGAUGAGGGAUUAAGCGUACUUACAUAAACCGUAAAAGCAACAGCUACAGCAAAAAUUGCAUAUCCCACAUUAUAUGGUGAAAACUCGUGUCGAAGAUGCCUUGCAACAAAAACACAAAAGAUAACAACUGGGACAAUGAUCAGCAACAAGGUUAUGAGCAGCGACCUAGCAUCAGGUCCAAACAUCAACCUCCCACCAAGAAAAAAUUUCUGCACAAGUUAAACAUUCUAGAUCAAAAAAUAAUAAGAGCAGCACCAACCUGAACUUUCAGACUGUUAUGAAAUCUCAAACUAUGUACAUCCUUCUCUUCUGACACCCAGGUGCUUAGACCCCUAGUUUUCACUGAAACUUUGCUAAAUUCAGACUUCAAUUAAUGCAAAUACCAUUUGUGUUUAUAACACAUACAUUAGUAGGAAGGUAAUAUGUACUAAGGUAAGAUAACUACAAGCCAUACAGAUGGAGAACCAAUAAGAAGAAAAUUGGAUGUUAACCAACAUUAUUAAAGCUAUCAAGUUAGCAAGAGCUUGAACCCGAUACAGGAAGCUAAAAUUAGGAUAGUGCAAGCCAAGAUAGGGACUAACUGCUAAGCCUGAUUUCAAAACAAGACAAAUUAUAAAGCUUGACCAAAAAAUGUACCCAAAUACAGAAUCUAAAAAUAGAUAAACAGAGUUCAUCUUAACCAAAACUUUCUGAAAAUGAUUAGAAUUCAUUGGAGGUAGGUACUACAAUCGCAACAUUCCCACAUCAUAGUAAGAAGACAACACUACUGUGAACAAAAUUCCUGUUAAAUAUCUCAGUCCAUUCUCAGUUUGCAGACAAAGACGGUAAACAGUCAGUUUAGGGCCACCCUAAACUUGACUAAAGAUCCUCACUUUGCAGGUUGAGUUCAAAAUUUUAGACCAUGAUAAAACAGCCAAUACAAUAAAAAAAAAAGGAAUAAAAAAGGGCAAUCUUAAGCUUCACUCCGGUAUUUGCAGAGGACCUUUUUCUGUUAAUUUGCAGAGGACGUUGAGCCUCUUUAGGAGCAUAAAUAGCUUCAAUCUGAGUUUUCAAUGAACCUAUUUUAAGUCUUAGUUAAGAAUCCAUAAGAUUAUUAAAAAGUUCAAACUAAUCGCAGUUUCACCAGUUUUGCAUUGUAAAUGCUUUUGCAAAACCUACAAUUUAUAAAAUUAGCAGGAAUAAAGAAAAUGGAAGUUGUUACUAAUUGGAAAUUCCAUCAGGUAGUCAAAUAGAGUAAACGUUAGGGUUUCUUACAGUCUCUAAAAUGUUCUGCAUCUUCUCAUCACACAACUACACCACCUAUGAUUACACAACAAACCCAUUGUAAGGUUAACCCCUAACACUUGCCUGAUGAUAUUUUAACUCACUUUGUCUGGGUCUAUGAAUCCUGCACAGAUCUCCUAGGAAACUUAACUUUACUACAUAAUAAAAUGUGGAUGUAACUUUAGCAUAAAUCAUCAUCAAAAGAAGCAAGUGGACCUCAAAAAAAAAAAACAGAGGGAGAGAGGGAGACAGAGAGACUUUGGCCAACUGGUGGCAAAAAAAUACACAUUCUUAAUGUGAUUCUCUUAUAUUUUCUAAGCCCGAUGUUGCCGUAUCCAUCACUAAACUUCUCUCUUUUUCUUUUUCUUUGAUUAAAAAAAAAAGGAUGAAAACUUAUUCUAUCUUUUUCUUUUUAUUUUUCUAUCUUAUCUUAUAUUUUAUAAAGAAAGCUCCCUGAUUAGAGAGGGGGGGGGGAAGAUGAAAACUUUUUUCUUGCAUUUGUCUCCUGUUACAACCAUAAUCUUUUUCUUUGCAGACUUGUUUAAUCAACUCAUUGUUGUACAGCUAAGUAAUUUUCCUUAACAAAAUAACAAAGAUUAGGAAACUACAUAGCCAACAACAUCAAACCCAGAUUAACAAGAAAUGUUUUUUGUAAAAGGAACUCUAAGCUUUCUGAUACAUCUAAUCGAAGGACUGAAAAUUAAUUGAAUCAUCAAAAUCUACAGAUUUCAUACUUUUUGGGCAUUAAACCAAUUACAACAAUGCAAAAUUACCUUCCUAUUUAUUCAUGAGCACCAAGACAUGAACGGUUAACUAAUUACGCUCAACAACUACAGCAUUGAUGCACAGUCCUCCUACAAAGCACCAUUGAAAGCUAUGUUACUGGACUUGGUACGGGAGUCCUGCAGACAUUGCUAGCCUGGUGUAAAAUGAAAAGUCGAACACAGUAGGGUAGGGCAAAGUAAAGAGUCUGACUAACACAGUCCCUAACUGUCUGCUGCUUGUAAAGAAGAAACAUUGUAACUUCAGCAAGAUAUGAUCAUAUUAAUAUAUUAUCUUCUUUACCCGUGAGCUAUAAUAUUGGUCUUUCAAGAAAAAAUUAUGAAUAUUUAACCAACAAUCAAGCUUGAAAAACCUACCACUAUCUCAACCAACCUUUUGAGUAGCUAACUGCAACCGGACCUCAGCAUUGCAAAUGUAAGUUUCAGAUAAAAUUUCCUUUCUUGCAACUCCAGGCAGGUCAAGAAAAUCGUUUUACAGGACAGAUUUACCACGCAAGUUCACAAUGCUAAACAUACAAAAUGCCAACAUAAAAAAAAAAAAUCAAACUGUUAAAUUCAAACAUCAUAUUCCAAAUAAGAAUUCUCUCCGUCACCAAACCUGAAAACCCCAAACUUUCAAUAACCUAAUUAAGAAGUUUUCCUCCCAUCUGAAGCCCCAAAGUACGCAACAUUUAAACUCUUUAAUGAAACACUUCAAUUCCAUUGGAUUCCCUGAAUUCCUAUAACUUGACCUAAUACUGAAAUCAUUAAACCUUCCUGCUCACAAAUUAGCUCAAAAAGCAACAAUUAAUCACAAUUUACCAAAGAAACAAGUUAAUCAAUCAUGACCCAUUAAAAUUUAAGGAAAACCCAGAAAAUUAUAAGCACCCCAGAUGCUAAAAUCAUCAAAAAUAAAAAAGCAGAAUAAUUCCAAUAUCCCAAAAUCUCAAGUACCAGAAAAACUAAAAAUUCAAUGAAAAAGCUUAAAUUAAACAAAAAUAAACCAUCUGAGCUUACAUUACUUCCUUUCCAAACUUCAUACACGCGCUUUGCCAUGAGAAAUUUAACGGCCCCCAAAACCUACGCGCCCCGAAAAUUCUUCAACUCCUCUUCUUUCACUUAGGCCGGGACAGAGUCGAAGCUUUGAAACUUAUACUUAUUGUUAUCAUUAUCAUUAUUCAUCUCCCCUUCUCUCUCCUUUCUUUCUCUCUCACACAGUCACACGGUAGAGACAGAGAAAGAGUUCGACAUAAAGAUAGAUGAAUCUAAUCCAAUCUUUUUCUUUUUGCCGGAAAUUUGAAAAAAUUCAAGUGAAAUUGUGGGGCCAGCUGUCCAAAUAUGGGAAGAUAGAAAGAGGGUUUAGGAAAAUUGGAAGAAUAAUUGGCUAAUAGAGACGAAAAUGAAGAUGGGUUUGCGUAGGUGGUGUGAUCUGGAGAAGAAGGGAAGGGGACCUUUCCGAAUGGUGGCGGUCUGGGCGUUUUAGAGGUGUUUUAGUGUGUGUAGUGUGUGUGAGAAAGUGGGGGAAUGUUUUGGGAACGGACUACCCAGUUGGAAAGUUGAAUGAUUUUUCUCUUUCUUAGGUCAUUGUGUUAGGAUAAUGAUGACCAUUAUUGAUUUUGGGAAUUAGAGGUUCUCUUUUUUUUCUUUUUUCUUUUUUUACCUAUAGAAUAUUAUUGGUGCUUAUUCCUUAAUGCUAGUUUAAAAAAUUCAACUUGUUUUAAAAAAAGCAUUGAAUUUCAUAAGUUUCCAUAAUUCAAAUUUUACAACGUUUCCAAUUUUUUUAGAAUGGAGGAAAAAAGAGGGUUCAAUUAGAUACUAAUUUAAACCAAAGUGAAAAAAUGCGAGUUCCAAACGUUCUAAUUUGCACCCUUAUUACUCGAUUUGGAUCCCGAGAAGGAAUGUGUUAUAAAAGAGUAACUUAAAGAAAAUUGAAAUUUAUUUUCCCUUUUUUGUCUUAUGUUGUAAUUAGAAAAAGUGAUUCUCUAAUUAGUGAUAUUUAUGGAAUUUUAGUAUCUAAACUAACUUUUUCUUGCAAAAUUUGCAGAUGUUAGGAAACUUGGGUAGCUUUUUUGCAACUCGAGAUCGUCUGAAAUACAAACGGAAUAAAAAAAAAAGGGUAACUAAUCCUUUUUUCUAUUUACUUUUCAGUAUUUUCUUGACUAAACAUCCUUGACUUUUAUAAUUUGUCAAUAAGGCUUGUACAAAAAGAGUGUAAUUAAAAUCUCAAUCCAAAAAAAUAUGAAAAUUUUGUGUGUUAAAAUUUUUUACAUUUGACCUAGGUACCACUAACUUUAGAACUUAUUAGAACUUAGUAUAUUAAUUUAGACAUUUGAUCAAGUUUUUGAAACCCGUUUGGAUUCCUAUUUUCUGAAAUUUUAUUGCGUAGUGAUUCGAUGUGUGAGAUAAAAAGGUAAUUGAGCCAAAAAAAAAUUUUUGAAAAAAAAUGAGAAUCUCAAUUCUCAAAUUGACGAGUUGUUGAAUAUUCCAUACGAAACAAAAGGUUUUUUUUUUUAUUGUUUUUAUUGGGUGGCUGAUUACAUUGUCAAUUUAAGACUGAAUUAUAAUAAGUUGUAUGUGUUUGUUUUCUUGUUGGCUUGUGAGUUCUAAGACAACAUGAGUUGGCCUUGACUGGUCAGGAGCAAUAUAAAACUGUAAGUUAGGGGUAGCAAGCUGCAACUAAGUCCAUGGGCAAGCUGCUGAAUAGAAAUAGAUAUAGAUCAACCCUUUUAACGUAUAGUAGUAUUAAAAAAGAUUGACUUAAUUGUCAGGCUUAUAUAGUGGAUUAGCAAAUGUUUAAAAGGGAUAAAGAAGCCUAAACUCGAUCGUUUUUUGUCUUGCAUGCUUCUUAUUUGACAGAAAUCCACGAGCAGGUACAACAUUCAAGACUAAUUAAUGCACGUCUAGUACCAUAAACACAAAGGAUCACUAGCUCAAGGCCUGAAACAUCUGAGCUAGCUAAUGCAUUUGAAUAUUUACAUCCAAUGGUUUAACUCGAAAAUCUAGACCAACCAAUGCUAGAAUUCUUCCGACCGAAUUUAUAAAUAAUACUACUAAACUAGUUCUCUUUUUUUUUUUUUUUUUUUUUGUUAUGGUGGAAAAGAUAUUUUUGUUCUUCUGUUAAAAGUGAUGUUAUGUAAGGGGAUGUUUAUCUGAUGUUUGAAUCGCUGUGGACAAGUUUUACUUUUUGUUUAAGCUUCUCUUAAUAUGUUUGGCAGAUAAGUUUUUUGCCAAGUUUGUCUGCUACAUGUUUUUUAAAAACUUUAGUUACAGUAAUCUCAAAAAAUUUCUCAAAAUUUUUAAAUUACACACUUUAAAAUAUUCAAAAUAAAACACACUUCAAAUAUUUUUUUAAAAACUUCUACAGUAAAUUACAGUAAAGUUUUAGACAAAUACCCAAGAAACUCACUUGCGAGACGGGGGGCAGCAUUUUUGUUGAGGAUAAGGAUUAUGUUAUUGGAACUUAGAAGGAAAUUUUGGUACAAGACUUCUGCAUUUUGGAAUUGACUUGAAAGAACGUGAAAUUUCACAAAUAUUUAUAUUUUAGUAUGUAGUAACCCUUUGCAACUUAGCGUCGCACAUUUAAAAGUCAAUUUAGAUAUACUAAUUAGUGUUCAAGAAAGCCUGCACGAUGAUGCUUUAUUUGAAGUUAAGGUAACCAUAGAAAGUCGAUUCUUAAUUCUAACAAUCAAUUAAAGAAAAAAGAAAAAACUUAUCUUUCUUCUAUUUAUAAACCAGGUGAGUAGGUUGUUAGUGAAGUUAGUCUACGACUAAUUUUGGCGAGUCAAAGAAUGUGGGAAAGAAAGGAAAACUAUAAAGAACGGUUAUAUUACGAGAACUUAGUUGGAAAUUUUGGUGAAAGACGUUUACAUUUUCGAAUUGACUUGAAAGAAGAUAAAAUUUAUUUUUGAGUACUUAGUGACCUUUUGCAAUUUAGUGUCGUUCAUUAAGCAGCUCCACUUUUAAUUCCUUAGGAUCGAACGUGAUAUAAGUUGAAAAGAAAAGAAAACAAGAAAUCAGAGUUUCCAAAGAACAUUUGUGGGUUUAGUUUAUAUUUCAUGCUGUUUGGCAUUUUCCGCAGUUCAAAUUUCUUUCUUCUAAAAACUAACUAUACUUGUCAUCAAGCCUCCUCGUGCUAUUUUCUCCCGAGGUGAAGUUUAGAGUUCGAAUUUUAAACUUGACAGUCACGACCAGAAAGAAAGGAUGCGAAGAGGGCGGAAGAAUGAAAAACCAAAAAAAAAAAAGAGCUUCUUCAUGCCACCAUUAUUAUGUUCAGUUGAAUUCAAUAAUCAAGAACCAAAUGCCAGAUUCGUAUAUCCUCCCCGCCUAGCUACUUCUUUUCUUUUUCUUGUCAAAAAUUCUCUCAAGCUACCAAUCACAUCUUUAUGCCACCAUAAUAGUCGGCAAAUACUAGGCAGAUGAGUCUACUAUGUGCUCAUAAAUAGGGAUGUACGCGAGCCAAGCUACUCGCGCUCGCGAGUAGCUUGGUCAACGGCUUGGCUCGAACUCGGUCAACCGAGUUUCGAGUAGCUCGAUUGGCGUUCGAGUCGAGUUUCGAGUCUCAAAUUUUUUGCUCGCGGCAUGUCGAGCUGGGCUAUUUAAAUAAUAUAUUUAUAAUUUAAAUAAUAUAUAUGUAUUAUAAUUAUAAAAUGACUAUUAUGGGUAUAGGUUAUACAGAAUUUACAAUAUACUCUUCUUUAUAAUAAAAUUUUAUAAGGGUAAAAAAGUAAUAACAUAAUUAUAAAAAUACCUAAAAAAAAUGUCUAAAAAAUGCCUCAUUUUUUUGGUCGAGUUGAGUCAAAAAACUUGAUUAGACUCGGCUUGAUAAUGUUUGACUAAGGGUCGAGCCUUAUUGAGUCGAGUUUCGAGUUUAAAGCGAGUACAUCGAGUUAAGUUUUGAGUAUCAAUUUUUUUGACUCGAUCGAGUUCGAGCCGAGCUCGAGCCUAGGAAUAUAUGAGUCGAGUCGAGCUCGAGUAUAGCACUACUCGAGUUUGACUCGGUUCGAUUACAUCCCUACUCAUAAAUCACGUAGUUUAUGUUUAGCCACUUCCCCUUAAACGUAGGAGGAUACUACUCUUUGUUUGCACCUCAUAUUGCAUGAGUGGCAGAUUUUGUGACUUGUAAACCUAAUAACCCGUAGUUUUGAGGGAAAGAAACUUCAGGCUACUUUGGUUACUCUCUUAUGUUUCUUCUUGGUAAGUUACUUCUUGCUGGCUUGGGAGAACUGAUUGACAAACAUACGACUGCUGGAGUCCUGCAUUUUUUUUUUUUUAAUAUAACAAAGGUUAUUACUAUACAUGAUGGCUAAAUUCAUUGAUUUGCUAAAACCAAAAAAAAAAAUUGAAAAAGGGACAAAAGAAAAGCAGAAAGAAAACUGUCAAUACUUAUCGAGUAGGUCGACUUGUGCCAUGAUACAAGAUAAUCCUAGUCGUUUAAAUGCAUGAACCUGCAAUAAUUUUAGUACUUGUACGUGUAACUUUAGGAUUUAAUUAACGAAAACCUCGUAUAAGCGUUAUGAGUGACAGAAUAAAAUUAAAUUAAGAAGUGUUUAGUGUAAAAAAGAAGACAGAUGUGAAUGUGAACGCGUAAAAGCCAAUUUGACUGCACUGAUUAGUGUAAUCCUGUAGGCAAUAAUGACCUUUUAACAUUACCUUGUACCUUGCAAAGUUGAAAACCUCCUCUUGUUUUUAUUACAAACCACACGAGUAUUAUAGGUUACUUGUGAAGUUAGGCCGAGUCAAUAAUAGAAAUCUUCAAAGAAUUUGCGCAUGCAUGACUAAUAUAGAAAUCUUCAAUAGUAGGUGCAGGAUUGGGGGCUAUGGUGGUUGAUACAUUGUUCUAUGGGGCACUUGAGCCUUGAGAAAGUGAUAAGCACUUCCAGAUUAGGUUAGGUGUGGACAUGCACUUUGUACUUAGAUUUGACUCUAAAUCAUUUAGAUUCAUUCAUGGUCAUCUUCAUAUUAUUAUUACUUGCUCAUUUUCUUAUUUACGAAUUUUGGCCCUUAAUCUAAAUUCUUUUUUUUUUUGUAAAAAAUUACAAAUUUAUCGUUUUAUUGGGGAGGAUUUUUUUUUUUCAAGGGAUGUUUCAACUUUUCAAAUCUGAUAAGAAGUUAAUUACAAUUCAAUCCCCUAAAUUUUCUGUAAUUGAUAAUUUGGCAAAUCCAAACGUAUAACAUCAGACACGAAUUCCCGAAUAUGCCUUUAGCAUAUUAUGAUAUAAUUAUCAUGUAGUAAGAUAAGUUGCCACCCUCUACAUAAGCCAUGGAUAGUUCAGGAUAACUGUCACAAAAUUUUGCCCAAGAACAUUUCAACUAAUCCUGCCACAAACUUUUGGAAAUAGAACUUUUAUACCUUUUUGUAAAUAUUAGUUGUGCUAUGCCUUCCCAAAAUGCAGCUACUUUGAAAGUGUGAGAAAAUGGAAUUUGUUCUAAGGUUAUUUCAGUGAUUUUGCCCAGGGGCGGAUUUAAGGUGGGGGCACUGGGGGCAUGGGCCCCCACUGCCUCCCCUCAAAUUUGUAUAAUAGUUAUACAAUUUUGAUAUAAUUGUAAAGGUGCCCCCAGAGUGUUUUUAGAACAAAUGUAAAAAAUAGAUCACAAAAUUUAUAUCAUUCACUUUCCUCCCCUGGUCUCCCAUUUUUUCCCCCAACAGAGCCAAGUACCAAUUAUAUCAGUCUUUUCUUUUGGUUCCCACUCCCCAAUUCCCUUUCCUCCUCUGGUCUCCAUUUUCCCUUCACAACCGACGGCUCCUCUUUCUUCUCCCAUUUGUACUUGUUGGUGAAUUUAUUAUUCUUUUGCUUAAAAAAUUAGAAAAAGAGUAGAUAAAAAAUUUUGAUGUUAUUUUUGCCCCCACUAAAAUUUUUUUCUGGCUCCGCCCCUGAUUUUGCCAUAACAGAAAAUUCAUAAUUAACAAUUUUGACUAGGGUCGUACUUAACUAUGGAGGUGGAGAGUGACUCUUCUCUUCUUUCUUAAGUUUGAUUUAGUAGUCAAGAAAACAAUAGAAUUGGCCUAAAUAAAGGUUAACGAUAUUGGCUCAAAUAAACGCCACUUAUAUUUGUGCUUAAAUGAAAUCAUACUGCAAAAGGGAGAAACUUAAGCCGUGCUUUGUGGAAUUUACUAGCAAUGAUUAUGUGAAGUUUGUCCAGUUCUUUCAAUUGUUUGAAACCGAAACAUGAGGAAUUAAAGUCAAUACUCAAUAAUGAUUUUUGAAAACAUCAACUUGGUCCCCAAAAAAAAAAAAAAUCUUCGAUUAGCAAUUUGGGAUAUUGGAUUCUUUCCCUGUAGGAGAUACACAGAGAGCAUGCUUAAUUCUAUAAUGCUAUACUUGGAUAUUCUGAAAAACAAAAGAAAAAGAAAAGGUGAAAAUUGGUGGAGAGAAAGAGAUGUUAACUGUGAUCUUUUGGGUACAAAGGGAUAGUUGACUACUUAUGGACUGAAAAUUCAUUCGAUGUUUGUUUUACAGUGCCCAGAACAAAAGAAAAAGAAAAAGUGAUUACUGGUGGAGAGAGAUAAACUACUAACUUUAACCUUUUAGGUGCAAAAGGGGUAAUCGAUUAUGUAUUUAUGAGUAAAUCUUAUAUACACUGAUAGUAUAUACAUUAUCAUCGUUUAAUUUAUGACAUAUGUGCAAAAGCUGAAUUUCAAAUUCAAAUUUUAUAUAGUUACUAUUCCUCCAACGCUGACUGUGUAUAUAUUAUUGUCGGUGUAGGAAAGAUUAAUCCUUUAUUUUAUAGAGGGAAAACUGAACUGAAAUCUCAUCCUAGGAUUUGUCUAAUGAGUGAUUAAGAACUGACUAGUAUAGCAUGUUUACAAGUUGCACAUUUUUAGCAGGUCUUUCUUUCUUUCUCUCUUUUUUUUUUUCAGUUAAAACGUAUCUUUAAUAUAUUCUAAUAUUCGAUUUGGCUAAUGGGGGUUGGUCUCAGACCAACUGCAGUUAAUUUAAAAAAGUGUCUAAACGUAAAGAUGCAGUAAUUUAUAUUUAUGCACAUUUUUAUUAUAAUUGUGUUAUGUAAAAAUUAAGACGUUUAAUGUUGCAGUUACACCCAUUUUUUCCUGAUCCUUUGAAAAAAAAAAAGAUCCAUUCUCUUCAUAAAAAAUAAGAGGUAGAAUCAAUAAAGAUUUCUUUUUCGAUCCAUCUUGAUGAAUCACUUUUUUUUUUUUUCGAUUCAUCUGCGUAAUUAGGCUAGCGGGUGCCUAUACGUAGCCUUAAUGGUCUGCAUAUUCUUUCUAGCAUUUCCAAUUCUCCAUCAUGAAUUUCAAACUUUUUUUAUGUCCUCUCUAAAUGUAGAAGUUGGACUUAGAAUCUUUUGCCAUUUUCAAGCCUGGCCUCCAUGGAUUUUCAGUUUUGGUGUAUGCUACCGUGUUAUAAAUUUGGCUAUGCAAGGGUUUUGGCUUGACCGCCGUGUGGGCUCCAACAAGAAUAUGACCACGACAAAAAAAUUCCCUUUUUUUCCCCCUUUUUCUAGUCAAAAUCUCUUCUUUAGGCACGUUUUCACCGUCAGUCGAAUAUCUUGUUUCUUUUUCUUAAAAAGAGAUUAUGAAAGGGGGAAAUGUUUAAGCUUUAAGGAUGCAUUUCAUCCCAGAUUCCCAAGUGAUAUCUUCUUUUAAGGGAUCAUCUCAUGCAGUAUCAGGGUUUUGUCGUCCAGGAUCAACAGUUUCCAUUUAGAAUCCCAAGCAAGGAGAUAGUAUAUAACUGGGAAGUUAAAGUUCCUAAAUAGUACCAUAAUUAAAAGGAAGUAUAUAUAGUAGUGUUUUUAUACAAUUUGGAGUUCAAUUCAAUUUAUAAAAGGAAGUAUAUAUAGUAGUGUUUUUAUACAAUUUGGAGUUCAAUUCAAUUUGGAGGCUCGGCUCGAUUAACUCAAAGCUCGACUCGGCUCGGCUCGUUUGCAGCCCUAGUAUCUACUUACCCCCUCCCCCCACAAAAAAAAAAAAAAAAAACUCUAUCCUAGGAGAUUUCGAAUAAUGUAUUUUCCCAGCGUAAUAGUGCACUUGGAUAGUAGAUUAUUUGACAUAAUUUUUUUUUAAAAAAAUAUUUGUAGCAUCUUUUUCGAUAUGAUAUGUACGAGAUAAAAAAAUAAUUAAAAAAUAUAUUUAUAAUGCGAGCAAAUAAAUUUUGACAACUAAUGCAGUAUUCAAACAAAUAUGUUAAGAGGCUAUUCAAGGAUUGACUUUCACCGACUUGCUGCCAUUUAUCACGUUGCUUAGCAAGACUAGAUACAAACAAUUCUAGAUUCAUACCCUAUUUUGCAAAAAUUACGCAAUGUUAGAUGGUCUAACAGAACGUGGCCACAUGUUCAAUUCUUCCAUUUAGUAACUGCUCUUUUUAUUUCCAAUCAUAUAAGAAUUGGUGGUUAAAUUAUUUCCAUUUUAACCUUGCUUGAAAGUCCCUGAAUUACAUUUACACCCCUUCAACUUUACUAAUCAUUUCAAUUUUUUAAGAACUUGCAAUCUCCUGCUGAUGCAGGGACCAAAAGGGCAUUCAUGGAAUAAAAAUCCCAUCUCACUCGUGACAAUAAUAUUCUAGCUCGACUUGGACUGAAUUAUUACCAAAAUCUCAAAAGCAAGUGUGGUCAACGAAGUUUUUUAAAAUCUCGAGAGUGUUAGUGCUAGUGUCAAAGUCAAUCUAGUAACAUGACGGGAUUUUAAAAGAAGCGAAUAAUUGGGGUACAGCGUUAAUCCCGAUAUUGAUAAUUUUAGAGACUUGCUGACCAUAGUAAUCCAUAUUAAAAAAAAAGGCUAAAAUAUAUAAUGACAAGAAGAGAAUCUGGAGAAUAGCUUAUAUAAUAUAAUGGGAAAUGGUGGAAUUUGAUUUCUCAACUGGCACAUGAUACAGUGCUAAGGCUUGGUGGGGGUGGAGGUUAAGGUUCCAAUUGCCAGAAUAAGCGGAUCUUCUAAAAAAUUCAGAUAGACGGAUGCCGUAGUGCAUUCGUUUGGUCCGGUGAUAGUUCAAUUUUCAUAUGUUUCCAUAGGUCCAGUUGGAUCUUUCCUUAGAUAGAUUAGGAUAGAGUAGGAUAUAGAUAAAAUGGCGAUGAAUGACAAAAAAAAAAAAAAAAAAAACUCUCACAUGAUACACAGCCAGUCAAAGGUCCCUACACCGAUCAAGAUUCAAGAAAAUGGACCAGUACAUUAGUUACACGAUGAAUGCCUAAUUAACAUGGUAAGCUAGAAUCUUUAGGUUAACAAUUUUUAUUUUUUGUAUAAAUAGUUACCAUGUCCAUAUUUUCUAUAAGAAUGUCAAAUCUUUAAUACUACAGUAGCUAUCUUUGAUUUAUGUUUAUUGGUACACGAAUUUCAAGUAUGUAGUUGAAUAAACACCUUGUACUAUUAACUUAUAUGAUGUUAUUAUGCAAUGUGAAGAUGAAUUACUUUUCUCAUAGCCAUCAUGUUAAAGUCAAGUCGGUCAACAUAAUCUACAUAAAAAGUCUAAUCCACACUUAUUUUUAUCUCUACCACAGAUGUUACCUUUGUUUGUUAAGGAUAAUGAAGGUCAAUUUUGAGACCUAACUCGGAGCAUAAGCCUAUAAGGCACUUCCAAACACUCGCACGACUUAACCCUCUCCUGAAGACUAACUAGAAAAAGCCAAAAUGUGUGAUAGUAACUAGCAAAAGAAAUAAAAAAAAAAGGAACAAUUACAUAGAAUAGAUUGGCAUAUAUGUUAAAACUAAAGAGUUGUUUGAAUAGGAGAUUAUUUAAAAUAUUAUUUAGAAUGAUUAAUUGACCAUCAUCGAUCCCUAUUUCUAGGACAGAUCCUAAAAACGUGUGUGUGAUGAAAAUAAAUACUACUCCCUCCGUCCCAUUUUGAUAGUUCUGUUUUCCUUUUUCGUCUGUUCCAAAUUAUAGUCCACUUUCCAAUUGAAGAAUGUAGUUGUAUUUUAAUUUUCCUAAAAUACCCUUACUUAAUGUAAGUUGUUGUUACUAUAAACCUACCUAAUUUAAUGAAAGUUGAUUCUUUUUUUACCAUCAAUUCAAGUUCCCAUAAAAUUGUACUCUAUUUAAUGUGAGAGUAUUUUAGGAAAAUAGCAAUCUAAAUUACUUUUCCAAUAAAAUUAACUACUUUUUCUUAAACUGUGUGAAAAAAGAGGGACUAUCAAAGUGAGACGGAGGGGGUAAUAUUUUGCAAAUAAGCCUCGAUCCAAACAAACUCAAAGUAUUUGCAUACAGUUUCAAAAGUUGAUUGCUGAGUGGGGACGAAAACAUUAAUUAAAAAUAAAAAUAUUUGAUCCGUGUGCAAAACUUGGGUUUCAUGAGCAAAACCAUUCGUGCCACGAAGUCAAAAAAGAGAAGUUGAAGUCCUCGGAAAUACCUUAGAAUCUUUUUACAGUUGAAUUUGUGAUUGGCCGGCCGGCACCACACAUGGCACCAAUUUCGUCCCUAAACGUUUGACAGUCAAACAAUCCACAGAGCAAUUUUAUGAGUUGAAAAGUGAAAACACUUAAAUGAGUUGGAAAAUGCCAAACCCAAUGACUAAUACCACAUAAUUAAUACUAUGUACACUUGAAUACUAGAUCAAGUUGUUACUUUUUGGGGGUAUGCAUGCCAAUGAAAACAGCAUACCAUUGUGAAAGAAGUGCAUUCUACCCCAAAAAAAAAAAAAAAAUUGUAGUCAAUUCUCAGCUAACUCGUUACUAGUGCAUCAGCAGUGCAAGAUAAUUUAGUUGGUUCCUAUCAAACUCCCCUUUUUAUACCCAAAAAAAAAAUUCAUCCAAUUUUAUGCACAGUACAAUUAAUUUAGGAAUUUAGAAAGUUCAAAUCUUAAUCGUUAGUCCAAUCUGAAUUAUCAAUUUUCUUGAACCAGUCAAAUGGGGCAAUCAAUCCCUUUAAAAACUUAUGUCUUGAAUUGCAUUUUUCUGAAUUUUUUAUAAAAAAAUUAUUAUAACGAUUUAAUAUAUAUGUUGUGAAAAGUUGAUUGAAAAAUGUGUUCACGAAAACGUAGCAAACUGUCCAAACUUUAAACACGAACAUGCAGAGCUUAGUGUAUAGCUUAUGAAGGUUCUAAGUUGUGCUAAAACAACUAGUUGAAACGUUCUCUUCUAUUUUCUUCCCACUUUCCUAAUAGUAAUAGAAAAAAUAUAUAUAAAGGAAACGACCAGGUUAGAAUUUAGAUUAUAUAUAUAAAAAGAACAAAUUUAAAUUUACGUUCAAUUUACAUUCAUAAUUGUGAUGUUAGAAAGAGCUUUAGAACAACCAAACCGUUGACUGGUACACCUCAGUCAACCCAACAAGACAGCACAACACACCUACUCUUCUUCCUUGUAACAUAAGAUAGAUUAAGACCCGUUAAUGGCGGCUCAUCUCCCUUUUGAUCCUGUCCUCCUCUCCCUUCCCUUCUCAGUCGAUUCAACCCACAAAAAAUAUCCACCCGGAAACCCAGAAAAAUGAAUCCAACCCUCCAAGCUGUAUUAGCAGCCAUGGCUAGUUUCUUCGCAGUAACUGUUCUUUUCGGAGUUCUUAUGGUAAUCUGCAGAACCAGCUCGAAACGACAGCGCCCUAAUCCACCCCGAUCUCGGGUCAGAACACUGGAUACCCGGCCCAAGGCAGUGCCCACUAACAAACCGGAGUUUUCUUCAAUUACUAUAGGAGAAACUACAACCUUUGACUCGAGUUUGAACCCGGUUUCCAUGGGGGAGCUCCUUCAAGCUACAGCGAACUUCUCUCCGGAGCUCAUAGUCGGAGACGGGAGCUUCGGGUUGGUUUAUAAAGCUAAGCUCUCCUCCGGUGUCGUUGUCGCCGUCAAGAAACUCGACGCCGAUGCAUUCCAGGGCUUCCGGGAGUUUCAGGCUGAAAUGGAGACCGUGGGAAAGAUCCACCACCGGAAUAUCGUUAAGAUUCUCGGGUAUUGCUCCACGGGUUCGGAGCGGAUUUUAGUGUACGAGUAUAUCGAGAGGGGAAGUUUGGACCAAUGGCUGUAUGACACGUCGUGCCCGUCCGAGGAUACCGAUGACGUGGACGUGGAGCAUUCAGUUUUCAGGUUGCCGUUAUCUUGGGUAACGAGGAUUAAGAUUAUCAGCGGAAUUGCCAGGGGAUUGGCUUAUAUGCAUAAUUUGGAUACACCAAUAAUACACAGGGAUAUUAAGGCCAGUAACGUGCUAUUAGACGCGAAUUUCGAGGCACAUAUAGCUGACUUUGGAUUGGCUAGAAGCAUCGAGGGGUCCCACUCGCACGUAUCGACUCAGGUGGCCGGCACGAUGGGCUACAUGCCGCCGGAAUACCUUGGCGGCGCGACGACGGCAACGAUGAUGGGGGACGUUUAUAGCUUUGGGGUACUGAUGUUGGAAAUUGUCACCGGGAGGCGGCCUAGUUUGCCCUUUCCGUGGGAAGAUGGAAAGGAGAUUAGGUUGAUGGAAUGGGUUAAUACCAUGGUGGCGCAAAAGCGGUACAUGGAAAUGGUGGAUGGUAAUAUCCUAAAGGAUGAGCUCAAGGAAAACGAGGUCAUAGAAGUUUUUAGAAUUGCUAAAAUGUGUGCUACUGAGAAUGGUAAAACUAGGCCAGCAAUAAAGGAAGUUGCCCAAAUGUUGGAUGGAGUUUCUCCACAAAAAUGAGCCCAGUGGCAGCUUGGAGGGGGUUUGAUCAGGUGUAUGUUUUCUUUUUUGGUAUUUUUGGGUUUGCCCUGUCCUAGGUUUAGAACCGCAACCGCAACAUGGGAAUGUUUGCUUGCGGCAAAUUGAGGUGAUCAUGACAGGGAUGUAUAGCACACAGCUUAUUAUGCAACAGAGUGAUAUAAAGGUUAUCAGUACUUGGGCUGAAGAAUUCCUCAGCUAAAUGAUUCAACAUAGGAAUUUAGAAUAGGUCAUCAGUACCAUAAGUUGUGGUUAGUUUCUAGUUACAGAACCUGGGAUGUCACAAAUCCCUGUUUUCUGCAAUGUGAGGUUCCAACUUCCAACUUCCAAGAUCCAAGACUCCUGGAGGUUGAAACUCAAAGUAGUGUUAGGUAAACAUGACUUUUUGGCAAAAUUUGGUUCCUGUAAUGCACAGCAGGAAGUAUUUUGUGUAGAACCUCACAGGCGCAUCUUGGCAUGGAAUGGUUCUGGUCACUGAUCAUUUAGUGACAAUUCACGAGAGAGUUUGUGUACUUUCUAUCAUUAAUUAAUGUUGUGACGUGCAUGUUCUUGAUUGGAAAUUGGAAGGAUUUCACUUCAUCAUCAUGUUGUUGUUCUUGUCUUUUGCAUUAAGGGCCAUCAUUAUGGGUGCAGGGAGGAUGUGGGCAUUUCAUUAGUUUUUCCUUUUCUGGCUUUCCUCGUCCGUGGCAUCCUGAUUAAGUCAGGAGGCUGCUGGCAAGUAAUUCUCCAUCCAGAACCUCUCUGUUCAUUCCCAAAUUGAGAUGUUCACUUGCAAAUUUACGUUUGUAGAAUUUUGUUUCUUUAAUGACUGGAAAAUUCCUGGUCAGAUCCAGACAAAUUGGAAUAUAUGGAUAGCGGUUUAUUGAUUGGUUACAGGAAUCUCAGGUUUUCUUCUUUCUUUUUUUUUUUUUUGAAAAAAAGUUAUUUUUAUUAAUAAUGACAACUAAUCCACAAUGAUGGGAUUAUAACUAACAGAUCAGAAUUAAGCAAAUUUUAUCAGUAACCCUUAAACAGUGGACUAUAACAUAUUAAUUAGACUGGUAGGGAGGUAAGUAUAAUUUUUUAAAUCUUAGGGGAGCUCAGUGAAAUUGUUAGAAACUUCAGGGGAGGUUUCUGAAAUUAUCCCUUUAAAGUAUUUGGGCCAUAAAGAGACGAAAAAUUCCGCUGAGAUGCACCACCAAUCGUGUUGACGGAAAAAUAGAACUUCAGGUAGGAUGAUGCGUAAUAGUGGCAACGACCGGAAACAAUCAGUAGAUCCGUUGUAGUUUUAUCACAGAUUUGUACCUUAAUUAGUACUUCUGUUUCGCCUUCGUCCAGUGCUAUUUUCUUGGCUCUGCGCCUUUUAAGUUCACCUUUUCGACGGUCAAAAAAGGAUUGCGGUGAAGCGCAAUUAUUACUUAACCUGGUUGACUUGCUUGGAAGGCGAAUUUUUAUAAAAACAUGUUGGUUGGAUGGAAUGGGAUUUGUCCUCCGCGAACCUGUUUUUAACAGCGCGUCAUCAUUUCAAUGUUUUGAAAGUCGGACCGUUAAUUGAAUUAGCGAGGUGUUUACCGGUUCAAUUCUGAUUCAACGAAAUUUUUUUAAAAAUAAUUUAUAUAAAAUAUAUGUACAAAAUAAGACAUGCAAUGGACUAAUUUAAAGCUUUAUAUGAUAAAAAAUUUAAUAUUUUCAAAGAACUUGGAUUUUCACAAUUAAAAAUUUUAAAUUAUAAAUUGCAACAAAUCAAUUUCAUUUCAAUCUCAAUUGUAUCUACUAAAAAAUAAUCUUAAAUCCAACCCAAAAAUACCACAAUAUUCUAAAAUUAUACAAAAUUCACGUCCAUGGGAAUUAGACAUUGUGAGUUUAAAUUAUUAAAUCACGUUUUUUGGAUUUAGAGAUUGCAACUUAAAAAAAAAUUUGAAGUUUGGAGUUUGGAGGAAGUCAGAAAAAAAGAAAAUAGAAAUGCAAACUUGAUAAGAGGCAAAAAAUGAGAAAAAAGUGAGUAGAUGUGACAUUUAAUAAUUAGUUUUUAGGGUUAAGGAAAACCUAUAUAUAUAUAUAUAUAUAUAUAUAUUUUUCAAUUUAAUAGACAAAAAACAAAAAAAAUCGCCAGUUCAACUAUUCAAUCCGAUUCGCACGGUUCUCACUAGUUUUUAAGUUCAAUAAACUCGAGGUAUGAACCAAAUCGAAACUAUGAUCGAUUCGCAAUCCGAUCGGUCGAACUAACCGGUCCAAUCCGAUUUUCAAAACAAUGUAUCAUUUACUUUGAAUGACUGAAUGACACCACUUGCUACCUAAAUCAAACUAAAAUUUUUCUUUGUGAUUGCCAUCUCAACUUGCAUCUUAAGUUCCAUUUCGCUUCUCUAGCUAAUCCCUUGUCAAAUUGCAAAGCGUGUCUAGGAUUAAAAGCUUACUUGCAAAAUUCUACAUAUCCACAUUUUGUUAUGCUCCAUUAUUCAAUUAUCAAAAUGAAUAAUUGAGCAUUUGGUUGAUGGAGUGCUCUUCUUUCGACUCAAAAUGCCGCCAUUUCGACCCGUCCCCGAACUCUAACACUAGACAAAUGAUGAAUCAGUUGAGAAAACAUCUACGAGUUUUUGCAGAAUAAAGUAAAAUGUUAUUCAGCUAAAAAAGGAAUUAAAACUAUAUAUAUAUAUAUAUAUAUAUAUGUAUGUAUGUAUGUAUGUAUAUAGGUACAUAUUAGACCAGAAUGACGUGACGCUAAGACACAUUAGACCAGACUUAAUUGCCCCAAAUUCUAGGUUGAAUCGAAAAUGAGGUGUAUUGUCGAAAAGUGAAACCAAUUCCAAGGUGUUCCAGAGCUCAGAUAUCGGUUAGAGAAUAUUUUAAUUGGAAAAUCAUCAAAUUUUGUCUUGGUCAAUAUUGAAUCUUGGCUCAAGAUCAAUACUAAAAGUAAUCAAAAUACUAAGAUUGGUACUAACAAUUAUUAAAUAAUUACUAACACUGAUUGAAAAAAGGGUCCUUCUUAUCUUCUCUUCUGCAAAUUCUCAAAAUAAACUUGUCAUGUUAAAAAAAAAAAAAAAAUUUUAGAUGGAUGGAAAUAGAUGAAGAAAUAUUAAAUCGUCCCAUGUCGCGUUUGGAAUUUUGACCUUGGAGAUGAGGAUUUUUAAAAAGAAAACAAAUGACCAAUAGACAGAAAAGAUGAAAAGUGAAAGAAAUGAGAUGUUUUGUUGAAAAUCUCGGAGAUGAGGGUCUAAAAAAAAUGAACAUUGGACAGAUCUUACUAUCAAAAUACAAUCUUCAUCCCACUUCCCGCAUGGAUCUGAAUUGCACAGAUAAAACCUAGACUUGUGUGGAUCGUGAAAGACUAAAUACGUUUGUCAAAGUCGAAAUAAUGCAGUCUUAGACACUAGGGUACAUUUAUGUUCGCAAUAUAUAAUUUUGUUGCAAUUUUUGAGAAAUAUAAUGGCAAUUGACUUGCUUUACAUUAAGUCUUGCAAAUUUCAAAGCUCAAAUGAAUAUAUUUUGUAAGAUCCGUGCGGGAAACAUAUUGAUUUCAUGUAAAAUAGCAAUAUUUUUAAUAUGCCUUCUGGAUUUCGAAAUGUCAAAGGAGACAAAAAAAAAUAUUUUUGUAUUAUUUUUUAAUGUGUCCUGAAUUGCAUCAACUAGAAAUAUUAUAGUUGUGGAAAAAGAUCAAAGAAGAGAUGCGCCUAAGGCAUGGUCCUUUUGGAAUAACAAGGUUAAAAUUUACCCCAAAUAUAGAUAAUAACAAGACAUAACUGUAUCCAACAGGUCAAGAAGGGACCUGUUCUAAUAUUAAUUGGAUUAUUUUAUAUGUCCUUUUUAUUGUUUUACUCCCUUCGUCCCACUUUGAUAGUCCUGUUUCUUUUUUCACACAGUUUAAGAAAAAAUAGCUAACUUUGUUGGAACAGUAAAUUUAAAUUGCUUUGUUCCUAAAAUACCUUCACAUUAAAUAUGGUACAACUUUAUGAGAACUUAAAUUGAUGGUAAAAAAAGGAUCAACUCUCAUUAAAUGGGGUAGAUUUAUAGUAAUAACUACUUACAUUGAAUAAGGGCAUUUUAGAAAAAUUAAAAUACAACUACAUUCUUUAAUUGAAAAGUGGACUACAAUUUGGGACAGAUGGAAAAGGAAUACAAAACUAUCAAAGUGGGACGGAGGGAGUAUUAAUUUUAUGAAUUUUGGGAUGUUUUAUGCUGAGAACAAGGCUCAGUUAUUCUUGACACGUCUUUUUUUUUAGGGGUUGCCGAUGCAAAGAACGUUGUGUGUGUGAUUAAGGUCAAGUAUGAUCAGGUCAUUAUGGUCUUUGUGAUUGAUGUCAUGAACUUCCAGCUCCAUUUUCAGAUAAAACAUCUGUUAUUUAACGAUUAUUCAAAAGAAUUGCUAUUUAUAAAAAGCUCGAAUCACCAAAAAAAAAAAUGAUGCAAAAUAUUAGAAAAAAUUUAAAAAAAAAUGAAUAAUCGAGCAUUUACUUGAUGGAGAGUUCUUCUUCCGACUCGGAAUACCAUUCAGAAUCCUACCAUUUCGACCUGUCCCCGGAACCUAACUCCUAGCAAUUGAUGAAUCAGUUGAGAAAACAUCAAUGUUUUUUUUUGCAAAAUGGUAUUCAGCCAAAAAACCUAUUUUGCAAAAAAUCAUAGGGGUAUUUUGGGAACUUUAGUGAUGAAACAGUAGUAAGUUCAUCUUACCUUAUAAUGCUAUCAUAAAGCCCAAUAAACUGACCAACAAUCACAAAGUAAUAAAUGCAGGAAAGUCUGUACUCUUUCAUCUACUGGAAGUUCUUCUCAUCUCCUCUCUCUCUCCCUCAUUUUUUCCCCUUGGAAAAUGAUGGGUGGUACGAGCCUUGAAAUGCAGUUCUGUAAUGUCAUCUUCAACCCCCAACCGACCCCACCUCAUAAUUCUGCAAUAUCAAGCAAUUUGACUUCGGAAUCAAGAUUAACCAACUUACAAGAACUACGCAAAUGAUGAGACAUGGAUCAAGUGUUUAUGCGAUGCACCCAAAAAAAAAAAAAAGUGAUUCUCUUUUACUGCAAUUUAGAACAAAAAAUAAAAACUGUUUGAGCUUGGCAAUGACAUGUCUUGCCUUGAUUUCUUCUUCUGGAGACGGUACCAGACCCUCAUCAGCCAUGACCUACAUAAAUAAAUUCAAGCCCACAAUUAAAUAGAAAGAAACAAAGCAAAAAGUAGACGUUUUACAAAUCAAAUAAUUGCAUUUGCCAUGUUACCUGAAGCAGGGAAAUUGACCACUGGACCUCCACGGUCAAAUCCCAACUAAAGCGAAACCAGCUAAGAGCGCGUUAAGUGGAUUAAAUUCAGGGCAAUAUGGAGCCCAAUAAGGACCGAUGUGCAGCCUUGAAUUGUACGUUAAACUUAAGGGUUAAUUACAUUUACUUCCCUUGAGGUUUAGCCAAACUACCUAAUAGUCCUUGUAGUUUGGAUAAAUAACAUUUACCUCCCUUGGCAAUAACUCUGUUAGCAUCCUACUGUUAGCGAUGGUCAAAUGGCUAAAUUAUCCUCCAUACAAAUGUUUUAAUAAAAAAAUUUUAAAAAAGAAAAAUGCAAAACAAAAAAACAAAACAUAAAUAAAAUACAAUCCUUGUGCAGCGGAGAAAUUCAAUAAAAAUAAGAAAUCAGAAAAAUCAUUAGAUAAAGAUAAAUGAAGAAAGAAACAGUUGGACCUCAUCCAUAAUCUCUAUCCUCUCCAUUCUCAAUUGCUAUCUCUUUCUCUACUGCCGUUAAUCUUCUUCCCCCCCCCCCCAAAAAAACUACCAUCUCCUUCCUUUCCUAUCUCUUUCAUGUACCACUGAUUUGGAUUUUUAAAACUUUCCUACUUCCACCUUCAUCUGUAUGCAUCUUCUCCGUUUGAAAGCUCAUUAGAAAAAAUUAUCUAUUGGAUUUGCGGCAAAUUUGAGAUCUGAUGGCUAAAAAACUUAUUGAUGCUGAUACUCCAGGUUGUAUUGUCUAUGAUAUUUGUGGUUGACUUCCUCUAUUUAUUUUAAUAGUUGGGUAGAUCUAAAAUUGGAGUAUGUUCUUGAGUGUAUUUAUCGGAUUGAUGACCUUUAGACGGAAAGUUCAUAGGACUGUGGUAGCCUUUGUUUUACCAUUCUUUAGUUUAUCUUGUGGUUUGAAAAGCUUUCUUUUGUCUUAGAAAACAAAAGGAUGAAUAAUAUAGAAACAAAUUAGAAAGAAAGAAAGGAAACCGAGUUACAUGCUAGAAGACUAGUUCUUGGGUGUCAUUUCAUCGGUUUUGGUAGUGAUUGGCGGUGUUUCGGAUGGCGCCGUCCCAUUGCCGCAGGUUAUUUCUAUGGCAUUAAAGUUUUGGUUUUUUUUUUUUUUUGACAAAUAAAAUGAAGAUGAGGAAGACAAAAUUAAAAAGAAAGACAAGAAAGAGGGAUUUGUAACUUUAAAGGAUGGGUAAUUUGGGACAUUCACUUAAUAUGUUUUGCUGGGAUAAUCUAAAUAAGCAGUCAAACGUCUGUUAACUAACGGGAGGGGGGUGUUUGUUAUAGAAUUUUGAGUUUAAAGGCUCAUUUUGUUAUUUGUUCAAAUCAUGAGGAGUAAUUUGUAGUUUGGCCAAACCUCAAGGGAGGUAGAUGUAAUUAACCCUAAACUUAAAGGAGGAUUUACACCCCUAACAUCUAUGGCUUCUUGAUUGCGAACCCAAAAAGCUCCUCCUUUAUCACUGCAAUAAUUGGACUCAAAUUCCAUGCAUAAGUAAGGGUGUAAACGAGUCGAGUUGAAUCAAAUUUUAGCCUAAUUGAACCGAAUCUUGAAUUAAUUUUAUCAAGCUCAAACUCCACCUCGAACUCGCCGAGCUGCCAAUCUAAAACUCAAGCUCAAGUUUGACUCAAAUUUGAAUUGAGUUCGAGUUUGAAAAAAUAAAAAAUAAUUAUUUUAUUUUUUAAAAAAUGAAUAAAAUAAUAUUUUUCAUAAUAAAUAAUUAAAAAUUAAGGAUAUAUAUAUAUGUAAUUUUAUUAUUAAAAUAAAAAAUAUACAUAUAUACUCGAGUUAACGAGUUUAAUAUUUUGAACUCGAACUUGAAUUUGAUUUGACCAGCUCAAGCUCGACUCGAUCUCGAUAUUGAUCGAGCUCGAGUUAAGAUACGAGCCAUAUCGAGUUCGAGUUAAGAUUCGGCUCGUGAGCGGUUCGGUUCGUUUGCAGCCCUAUCCAUAAAUAGGCAAUCGAUUCAACAAUAUGAAGAAAACACGGAAAAUAUCCCAUUAUUUUCUUCCAGAUAUUCAAGAAAAAUAAGGAUUGUGAGAGAAAUGUUGGAGAGAGAGAGAGAGGAGAAAAAUCAGGUUCUUGGUUUAAAAUAUCCAUCGGCGAUUUUCAGGUUUUUUCUUGCAUUUCAACUAAAGUUUCUAAACUACUCCCGUUUAGUUGGUUAAUUAGAAGGCAAAUUGGUUUUAAAUGGUGGUGUCGACGCGGAGUUCUUAAUUGGAAGUGCAGCAUAAUUAAUGGAUCAAAUUGGUUAGAAAUAAAAGUUAGAGACUAAAUCAAUACUAAUAAAAAAAAUUUAGGGACAAAAUUGGCAAUUUUUCCUUUGCAUAAUUAGACCUUGAUUCAAAAGUUAGGCGUUAAUCCUGGUGUAAGUGUAUAUAAUGUUUACAAUAGUAGAUAUAUAGUCAACUUGAGUUGUUGCAAAGUUAAAACCUGGCAAUCUGAGCUUUCUAUUUGAACAAUCUUUUGCAAUGUUUCUAGCAGAUGGAAGCAGUGAAGUAAACUCAUAUGUGGAAAUAAAUUGUCCCCUGAUGUUGAAAUUUUAUCAAGAUGAAAAGAUGUGGCAACCACGUGGUCCAUUGGAGUGCCUAGUCUCACUUUACUAAAAGACUUAAUACGCUGCAGGCUAUAAAUUACUUUGCAUUGUGUUGGCUAGGAAACUCAAAAACCAAAUAUGGCUUCGAUUACCAGUUCUUUAAGCUCUCUACUUUUUCUAGCCACUUCUUCACUUUUACUUCACGGCUCUUCUCAUGUUACGAAAGCACAAACUUAUCCACCCCUAGUGCAAGGACUUUCGUGGGAUUUCUAUGAAUCUAGCUGCCCCAGUCUGGAAUAUGCCAUCAGAAAUCACCUCAGGCAAGUCUUCAAUGAUAGUAUUGCCGUAGCUGCUGGCUUGCUUCGCCUUCACUUCCAUGAUUGUUUCGUUCAGGUUAUACACCAUCAUUCCAAAUAAACUUCAUUUCAUGAUAAAACAGCAUGUCGCCUGUUGCACGUAAUAAUGCAAAUUAAAUAACGCAUCCAAAUUCAAAAUUAGCUUGCAAUACACAAUUUCGCAUUCUCGUAAAACUAUUAAUAUAUAUGUAUGUAUAAUCAAAUCUCUUCUUUUCUCGUACAAACCGCCUUAUAGUAGUUAUCGCUCUUUUUUUUUUUCUAACUUCUUUUACUAAAGCGAUUUAAGAAAUGACGAAGAAGAGGGAUUUGAACUCUAGACUUUAAUUCCUGACAUCUUAAUUUUGCCCGUUAAAUUAGGACCUUUCUCGACAAGGGUUAUCGCUUGAUGUAUCAAAACACGUACUUGAAGUAGAAUUUACGUUCAUUAGUAAUGAACUAGCAUAUUCAUCCUAGUUUUUAUCUGAGCUAUGGACAUGAUAUUAUAUAUUGUUAACCUUUCAAUCUUGCACUCUAUAUAUAUGCUCCAAAUUCUUCAUCCAACACAUUGGAAAGCUUUUAGGUUUCUAUUCCAACACAUUGGAAUUUGAGUUGAUCUAUGCAGGGUUGUGAUGGUUCAGUGCUAUUGGAAGGAUCAGCGAGCGGGCCGAGUGAGCAGGAUGCACCUCCCAAUUUGUCAUUGCAACCUGCAGCGUUCAAAACCAUAAAUGACCUUCGUGGAAUUAUAGAGAGCCAGUGUGGUAGAGUCGUGUCCUGCGCGGAUAUCACUGCCCUUGCUGCCCGGGAUGCCGUUUACCUGGUAAGCCUAUUUGGCAUUGUUUGUGGCUACGUCGAUUCGUUUUGUUAAAGUAAUACAAUUUACAAUAUCUGCAAAAUCUGUUGAACUAGUGAAACAUAGAGAUGAAAACUUGAAAAAAAGCCGUAGUACAGAAAGAAUUUGGGUUUUUAGUUAAAAAAAAAAAACAACGUACUAAGAUGUUUUUGGAAUACUAUUGUCAUCAACCAAGUUCUUUGUAUUGAUGAAACAUAAAUUUCCUUCUCUCAAUUAAUAUAUCAUAACUCAAGCAACCAAACUUCUGCUUUCAUAACUCCAAAAGAGGGUGCAGUCAGUGUAGUACCUGGUGAAUUUUCUCCCUCUGGACCCCACAUCGGCGCAUGCAGUUGGAUUUCUUCCUUGCUACUUGGUCUAGUAGUAAGUUAAUACACUGUUUUUCUACGUUGAUUCCUGACUAUUGUACUAGUUGUCCUUUUAUAACGACUAAAACACACCGGUCUAUUUAGUCCAAUAGAUUAGGGCAAAUCUCUGAUGGUUGAACAAUAGAGGUUCAUUAGCAAGUUCUAGUGAAAUUAUGAAAUGAAAAAGACAAAUUAAAGUCAUCUUUUCUUGAUAAUCUAGAUGUCCUCCACUUCAGGGAUUUAAUUUGUCAUUAUCAUUCUGCAAUUGUCAACUUAAUCUGAGUGCAGUCUGGUGGCCCUUAUUAUGAUGUUCCACUGGGAAGAAGAGAUGGACUCAGUUUUGCUACAAGAAAUCAAACAUUAGCCAAUAUUCCUUCACCAAGACUCAACACAAGUGGCCUCUUGACUUCUUUUGCAACCAAGAAUUUGAAUGCCGCUGAUCUUGUGGCUCUAUCAGGUGGUCACACAAUUGGGAUUGGCCAUUGCCCUUCGUUCACUAAUAGACUCUAUCCAACUCAAGAUCCUGCCCUGGACGAAACCUUCGCCAACAACCUUUAUGAGAUUUGUCCCGCAUCAAAUUCCACGAAUGCUACUGUGUUGGACAUCAGAAGUCCAAAUAAUUUUGAUAACAACUACUUUGUUGAUCUCCUGAACCGGCAAGGACUCUUCACAUCAGACCAAGACCUGUACACUGAUAGCAGAACGAGGGAAAUCGUUACAAGUUUUGCUGUUGAUCAAAACCUGUUUUUUGAGAAGUUUAUUUAUGCAAUCACAAAGAUGGGGCAGCUGAGCGUGUUGACUGGUACUGAAGGAGAAAUUCGGGCAAAUUGCUCGGUUACAAAUUCAGAUAGCUUGUUCCUUCCCCGGUCGGUGGAAAAGGAAGAAAUUGGCUUGGCCAAGUGGUGAGCGGUCAAAUUGCAGGAGAAAGAAAAAAGGAAAUGUUUACAUAUAAUAAAAGUCUAGCAUGAUAUAUGUGUUGGAAUAUUAAAUCGAUCCCAAUAAAUAGAAAUUUCUAUAUAAUUAUUUAACAGUGUUUUAGUGAAAUCGGAUUUCUAGUAAUUUUAUUAGAGUCAAGUUAUAGUACUUAUAGUGUUUAGAAAUUGGUAAUUUAUUAGAUAAUUUAUUGUGGUUGUCAAGAUUUGUUUACCAAAUCAUCUACUCUAUAAAUAAGGGGUCAUAUUAUUGUGAUAAAAUAAGAAGAGUGAAAGGGGUCAUAUUAUUGUGAUGAAAUGAGAAGAGUGAAGAGUGAAAGUUUGAUAGGUGUGUUAUUAUGGUGUGUGAUUAAUAUAUAUUAUUGGUAUUAUUUCUCUUCUCGCACACCUACUUGUAUAUGUAUAAAUUGUCAGCUCUUAUAUGUUUGUGAGCAUAUGAAAUUAAUCUCCCCACACUUAUGUGUAUUUUUUUUUUUUUGGAUUCUACAUCUACUAUCAAAGCCUUAGGUUCAAAAAAUUGAUUCCACGAUGUCUGUGAAUAUUGAAGAAUUAUUCUGCCUACAAGGUUAGUCGUGGGUAUGUGAAUAUUAAAGAAUUGUCCCGCCUACAAGAUUAGUCCUAAGUAUUUUUUGCUGUCAGAGUUUUUUUUUUUAAAAUAUUAUUCUAUUUUAUUGAUAGGAGCAAAUUUUACACACUGAGAAAGACCAAUUCGAAGUACAGCAAUCGACUAAAAAGGUAAUAAACCAAACACAAAACCUCCAUGUCUCAUUCAACCGCAUACUAGCUCCAGUUGUCCUUUGUUCUCAGCCCUUCAUACGCUUACUUUUCCGAAUUGAAGGCAUUCCUAAUCUAUCAAGUCGAAUGGCCCCACGAGCCAUAGUUGGGAACGAAUUAAAGGCCUCGUAAACCUUGACUUGAUGCUCUGGAUGAGAUACGCCCACAUUGGACAGCGCAUCAGCAACUUUGUUAGCUUCCCUAUAGCAAUGCGAAAAACGAUCAGGAUCUUUCACCAACUGCCAAAUCUGCCUAAUCUCUCGUCGAAUCUUCCAGGGGCAUUGAAUGCGAUUGUGAAGAAUUCCAACUAAUAAUAAAGAAUCCGAUUGAACAUAGAGAUUUUGAAAACCCCUAUGUACACAAGUUUGAAGACCAAUAAGGAGUGCCCGAACCUCUGCACAUAGACUUGUAGUUUCCCCAAGAUAUGCCGAAAAACCAAUCAAAGGUAUGCCAUUUGAAUUCCGAAGAACCCCACCGCCUCCACUCACUCCUGAAUUGCCCUUAGAACAGCCAUCCGUAUUUAAUAUGAACCGAUCGGAUUCCUUUGCUUCCCAACGAACAAGUUUGUAUGUAGCCUCAGUAUGAGAAGAAUACGACCAAUCAUACAAAUGAUGAAAUGACUGUACUCUGAAUACUUGUUUGAAAUGAAUUCCCACCAUGGUCUGGAUUUCCGAGAAAAUGGCACGACAAAUGGCAAGCGGCCUCAUCUGAACAUCCUCAAACAUUGCUUUAUUCCUUGAUUUCCAAAUCUGCCAACAGACAAUGCUGGGUAGAAUGUGCCCAAUAAAUCGUUGUAUUUCAGAAUCAUAUGAGCUGAGCCACCAACCCACUAUACGGGGCCUCAAAGAUGACCCCGGAAAGGACAAACCACAUGAAGCUCCAAAAUAGUGCCAAACUGUCGACGCUAUAUGGCCAUUAGAAAAUAAAUGUUCAAUUGAUUCCUCAGAUGCCGAAGAACAGCAAAAACACUUUGAGGGUAAAUGUAAACCAAGUUUACAUAACCGAUCUGGAACCGGCAGUCUCCCCAGCAACAAUCGUAGCAUGAAGAAUGAAACUUUGAAAGGGAGCUGAGGAUGCCAAAUUGUAUUAAAGACCAUAGACUUGUUGCGGGCCUGCCUAAUAUCCCGUAAUGCUGAGGCUAUAGAGAAGUUUCCAGAUGUUGUGAGCGUCCAAAUGACUUCAGAUUCACCCCCUUCUUCUGGAAACGGGUGCUCUAAAAUAGAGGGCAGUAUCUGAUAUAACAAAUUCAUAUCCCAGUGUCCAUUGAUGAUGAAAUUACCAAAAGACAAAUUUGGGACAACGGUCGCUUGGUGGAACAAAGCACCACCCCCCAACCAAUUGUCGUACCAAAAAUGACAAGCUCCGUCUUUGGCAAUCCAUAGCAUAGAGAAUUCCACUUGUCGACUCACAUUGACCAUCCUGCGCCAGAGUGCGGAGUCCAUUGCCUUGAUUUCUACCUGACAAGGAUGAAGGUGUCUACAGUAUUUUGCUUUCAUAAAUUCAGCCCACAAUGACAAACCCUUUCUAAAAUUCCACCAAAGUUUGAAUGAGAAAGCUGUAUAGAUGUCUUGUAGCUUCCGAAAUCCAACUCCUCCCUCAUCUAUCGGAUAGCACAUAUGGGACCAACGUAUCCAGUGAAAUUUCGACUCCUCGGGUGAUGAGCUCCAUAUGAAGGUCGAGAAAGCCUUUUCUAUAGUUCUAAAUACCUUACUCGGAAUAACCGCAGCCGACUUCAGAUGUACUGGCAUCGAUGCCAAAACAUGUUUGAUUAGAACUAUCUUACCUCCAAAGGAAAGCAUCCUUGAUUUCCAUGAUAUAAUUCUCCUUAGAAUAGACUGACACGCUUCUCCAAAAUAUGAUGAUUUGCAUCUCCCAAAGUAAAGGGGGCAACCCAAAUACCGAAUUGGAAAUGGUUGCCAGGUAAACUUGGUGAUAUGUUCAAUCACCCUUCGUCUUGUCGGUGGUAAAGAUGGAUGAACCAGGUAACAACUUUUUAGCACAUUUAUUAGCUGUCCCGAACACCUUUGAUACGCCUCUAGUACCUGCAUGAUAACCUUUAGAGAAUAAGAGGAUCCGUUUGCAAAUAUGAGAACAUCAUCCGCAAACGCCAAAUGAGUUAUAGUAGGACAUGCAUACGGGACUUUGAAUCCCACAAAACCCGAUUGCAUGGCGAGAUUAUUCAAUCCUCUAGAUAACACCUAAGCCCCUAUAAUGAAUAAAGCAGGCGAUAAAGGAUCACCCUGACGGAGGCCUCUCGUAGAUUUAAAAAAACCAUGAGAUGCCCCAUUUAAAAUGACCGAAAACCAAACAUUAGAGAUCAAUCGCCAUACUAAAUCAAUAAAUAUUUCUCCGAAGCCAAACCUCCUAAGAACAUCAAUAAUAUGAUUCCAUGCCACCCGGUCAUAAGCCUUAGACAUGUCAAGCUUUAUUACCACAUUGCCUCCUCUAUUCUUUUUCCCAAUACCCGAAACUAUCUCCUGAGCUAGCAGAAAGUUUUCUGUUAUAUUACGCCCCUUCACAAAGCCUGUCUGCUGGGGUGAAAUAAUUUUGGGCAGUACAUAAGCAACUCUAUCAGCUAAGAUCCUGGAUAAUAAUUUGUUGAAAAAGUUACACAGACUGAUGGGCCUAUAUUGAGAAAAUUCCUGAGGAUUUGGCAUUUUCGGAAUUAAUACAAUGGAGGUAGAUGUGAUGAAUCGAGGCAACUCUGCCCCACAGAAAAAACUGAGUAUUGCAUUAUAUACAUCUUGGGCGACAACUUCCCAGGCAAAUGUAAAAAAUUUGCCUGUGAAACCAUCUGGGCCAGCAGCACUGUCCCCAUCCAUUGAUCUCACGACUCGAUAGACUUUUUCAAUCGAAGGAACCUCUUCCAAUUUUUCAUUAUCCUCUUCCGAGAUUAUGGAUGGAAUUAGGUACCGCAAAUCGGAAGAUGACUGUAAAGAACACGUGAAUAGGUCAGAAAAAUAUGUUAUUGCCUCAGUUGCUAUAUCAUCAUUCUUGUCCACCCAAACACCGUUUGACUUUUUGAUGCGGUAUCAGAGUUAGAAUAUAAGAAUUAUCAUGGAGAAAUCAGUUGAUCGAGUUGGAUCACAAGGUUGGUCAUGAAGUAUCCAGUUGGUGAAAAUUGGUCCAAAAAAAUUGUCAGAUUCAUUGCGGAUGUGAAGACAAAGAUUGAAAAAAAAAAAUCUUGUCAGUUGAAUUAUGAUUAUUAAAAUAACAAAGUGAUGGAUUGUCAAUCAAUUGAUAUCAAAUUCUAUGAUGAAAACAAUCUAUCCAAAGACGUGGAAUAUUGCAGCAACAAAAGCUUUUGAAGAUGAAGAAUUCAAAGUGAUACCGGUAAAAUUUGCAAGUGAGAUUAUUGAUAGUGAAUAGUGUUGGUGGUGAGUCUGAUCCAAGAGAGAGUUUGAUUUAAGAGAGGCAAUAUUGACAUAUUAAAUCAAACCCAAAAAAUAGAAGUUUCUAUAUUGUUAAUUAACAGUGUUUUAGUUAAAUCAAAUUUUUAGUAAUUGUAUUGGAGUCAAGUUAUAGUAGGUAAUUUAUUCGGUAAUUUAUUGUGGUUGUCAAAACUUAUUAACUAAAUAAUCUAAUCUAUAAAUAGGGUUCGUAUUAUUGUGACCAAUUAAGAAAAGUGAAGAGUAAAGCUUUGAUAGGUUUAUUAUUAUAGCGUGUGAUUAAUAUAUUAGUGUUGGUAUACAUUAUUUUUCUUCUCUCACAUAUAUUGCUAUUAUACAUGAAAAUUGCCUCCCCAUAUAUAUUGGUUCUAUAAAAUUUAUCUCCUACAGCUUUUUGGUCAAAUUUUUUGGAUUCUACAAUAUGAAAUCUUAACAUUUCCUUCUCUCUCUCUCUCUUUUUUGUUGUCAUUUUACAUUUGUUAAUUUACAUUUUCCCUUAAUUUCCUACAGACUACAAACUCUACGUAAAGAUUAUCCUUGUUUAAUCAGGAAAUGUCAUCCACGGGAUUAAUAUAAUCUGUAGAUUGACCUGUGGACGCGGGACAAUUUGAAUCUCACAUGAAUUAAGUGAAAAAAUUGAACCAAAGCCAGGGAAAUGGUUGAGUUGUUGCGGCAGCUAACUCAGUCCGGUAGUGGUUGAAUCAUAAUUCAAUUGCUCGGUCUUCGUGAUGGAUGCAUGCAUAAUAUGACACUGGUCCUAGGAUUGGCUUGCCACACAGGUGCAACGUGGUAUCCUUGCCGACAAGCUUCUUCGGUUUCGAAUGAAGGAGAGGGGGACAAGUGCAAGAGAAUGAGACGUGGUUCCUUGGAUUACUAUUUUCUAGAUUUUUUGUAAAAAAAUAUAUAUAUACUGUAAUAAUUUAAUGUCUAUGAAAUUAAAAAAUAAUUAAAAUAUGUGAUCACGAAAAACAUAAAAACUUUUAUUUAAAAAACUUCAAUCCAAACAAGGCCAGCGCGCUCGAUAAAGAGUACCCUAUACAAUAAUAAUUGUCUCAACAAUUGGUUGCUUUUAUUUCCGUGCUAUAAAAAGCGUCCCAAUGUUUAGUCUGUAGAUCGAUUCAAACAUCGACAAUGGCUUUGACAACUACUGCUCUACUUUGUCUGGUCUUUUCUUCAUAUUUGCUUCAUAGCUCUAUUUACGUCACUAAGGCUCUAAGUCAAAGUUAUCCACCGUUAGCAGAAGGACUUUCGUGGGAUUUCUACGACAGUAGCUGUCCCAAAUUGGAAUCUACCAUCCGAAGGCACCUCAGGAAGGCGUUUAAAGGCGACAUUGGCCUGGCUCCUGCAUUGCUUCGAAUCCAUUUCCAUGAUUGCUUUGUCCAGGUGCUUUUGAGUUUUGUUCGUAUUCUUACUACAAAAUAAUGUGAUUCUUCCAUUCCUGAAACAAUUUGGUCAUGCCUGGCAAGUAAUUUAUGCUUUAGGGCCCUUAACUUUAAUCAGAAUAUCAAAUUAUCUCUUCCAAGUUUAUAGAAACCGACCCAAAAUCAGUGCUAGACUACUACUUUUUUUUUUUUUGGGGGGUGCACCUAGACUUGUUCAUCUAGUAAUCUGCAAACAAUUUAAGGUAACAAGAAGAUCUUCGGAUAACAUUUGGAAAUUCUCACAUUUUAGUAUGGGUUGUUUAUUAGUCAAGAAUGAUUCUGUGUCACAACUGGGUUGUGAAGUAGUAAUAUAUAAUUCACUAAUCUGAGCUGAUCCCCACAGGGUUGUGAUGCAUCAGUACUGCUAGCAGGAUCAGCAAGCGGGCCGAGUGAGCAGGACGCGCCGCCUAACUUGACAUUACGGCGAGAAGCAAUUCAACUCAUCGAUGAACUGCGCAUGCAUGUCCACAGGAAGUGUGGUACAGUUGUCUCCUGUGCUGAUAUUACUGCCCUGGCUGCUCGGGAUUCAGUUUACUUGGUGAGUCUCUAUGCAUUCAUUUGCUCAAUUCACAUCGAAGUAACCCAUUCAUUUCAUUUGGGGAGGGUUGGGUUGGAUUGGACAAUAAGGUGGGAGAGAUUAUAAGUAGAAAAUUUUAGAUUCAACACCUGUCGCUUAAGAAAAAAAAGGAAGAAGAAAACUUUCAUUCCUUUUUUUUUUUUGUUUAAAUAAUACCAAAUUAACGCUCAAUUAAAAAUGGAGUGCAAUUCAGUUGCUAAUUAAUACUUGGUAAUACUAACUAAUAAGCUCUAAUUGUUAAGGUGUAAGUAGAGUUUCACCAUAGAUCCUCUCCAAAUUAAAGAGUUAAAAAAAAAAGAAAGAAAAAAGAAGAAGAAGAAGAAACCAUGGAAGCCCUUAACCGAUGAAACUUAAAUGCCCUCAUUUCCAGGCUUGUAGAUAGAUUUUGUGAUCAGAGAUUAGGAUUGAGCGGUCGAUUUAUUGUUUGCAAGGAACGGUGACGCAGGCCUCAUUUAAUGCAAAACUAACUCCAGAAAACCAAACAAAAAAGGAACUAUUCAAUGGAAGUGUAAGGAAAACUAGUCAGACCUUGGUACGUAGUUGAUCUUGACUGAUCACAUUUUCUUUUUUUUUUUUUUAACCCCCAUUUUCUCUCCACCUCUGACUCAAAAUUAAUGUGUGAUGAUGCUGAUCUUGGGUUAGCUGGUACAAUUAUUGAGAAAUGUUACAGCAUCAGUAAUUUGCUGGCCCUUCUAAUUAUGUUGGACCCUGUUACAUCGAAAGGGAAAAUUUAUUUCGAACCCCGUAUAAAUUAGUACCAAACAGAAUGAAAAGAUAUGUGCACUUUAGAUACUGGGACAGCCAGAAACGUUUUUUUUUUUUUUUUUGUAUACAUUAGAAAGGUUAAGUUUACUCCCAUGCAUCUUAGAUUCACACCUGUACGAGUCAUCAUCGAUCAGGAAACAAGUUUGAUCCUCAUGCUAAAGUAUAUAUUUCGAAUUUUACUGGAAAAAUGGAGUUUUAAAAUGCUAUGUCUGAUACCAAAUUUAGAAUGCAAAACGAAAAAACGCACUAAGAAAAUUACAUUUUUUAAGGAUAUAACUUUCUCUCCAUUCUUCAUGUGGAUAACUUUCCCUAUUGCCUUUUUUUUAUGUUCCAUAAAACUUCUAGGUUUGAGAAGAGAAAGCAAAUAUUCUUUUGAUUUAUUGUUCUUAUGAUUGUUUCGAUAUGGUUCCGUAUUAAAUUCUACGAUCUUAAUUAAUGAAUAGCACGCAUUAGUAUAUAACAAAAAAAAAAAGUACAUUUUCUUAUUUGAAUCUUACCAACAAUUUGAAUUCUUGAUUCAGACAAAAAUUGCCAUUGUCUUAGUGACAAUUAAUCAUCACUAUGAUGUAUUGCAGUCCGGAGGUCCUGAGUAUGCAGUUCCAUUGGGAAGAAGGGAUGGACAACAUUUUGCUACAAGAAAUGAAACAUUAGCUUUUCUUCCACCUUCAACAGGCAACACAACUUCCCUCGUAGCUUCUUUUGGAAAACUAAAUCUCGAUACCCUGGAUCUAGUGGCUCUCUCAGGUGGUCACACAAUUGGGAUUGGCCAUUGUGGCUCAUUUAGCAACAGACUUUAUCCAACUCGAGAUCCAGUCAUGGAGAAUUCCUUUGCCAGAAAGCUUUACCGGACUUGUCCCACUUCGGAUUCCAAUAACACGGUUGUUUUGGACCUUAGAAGUCCAUCCAGGUUCGACAACAAGUACUAUGUUAAUCUCAUGAACCGUCAAGGGCUCUUCACGUCGGACCAGGACUUGUACACUGAUCGUAGGACGAGGGGCAUUGUCACUAGUUUUGCUCUUGAUCAAGAAUUAUUUUUUGAGAGUUUUGCUUAUUCGAUGGUGAAAAUGGGGCAGCUGAGCGUAUUGAUAGGAAAUCAAGGGGAAAUUCGUGCAAAUUGCUCGGCUAGGAAUUUGGACUUAUCUCUGUCCUCUGUGGUGGAAGAUGGAGGAAAAGGGUUGUCACAGUUCUGAGGCUGCAGGUUGUGAAUGAUCCAGUCAUGGAGAAUUUCUAGGCCAGACUGUGAUGAGCCAAAAUUCUGGAAAUAACAAAGUCUCAAUAUUACAAAAAAUAAAAGUCAGGCAUAAUACGUAACUUUUGGCAUCUAGUUUGUCAUUUGGCUAUACUUGCUUUCUUUUCAUUUGUUCUUUUCCUCCAUCCACUGUUUGACUUUUUCUGAUUUAUCCAAACUUUUUCGUGCCAUUUCUCAACUAGCUUGAUAUAGGCGUAAAAUAUUCUGCGUAUUCUUGAAAUGACCCUACUCUUCAUCAGGAAAUGUACGAUUCAGUACCUUGCUUGUAUUACAUAAAAACUUAUUAUGAAACAGUAGCUUAAUUGUAACAAAGACGGCUCUUUUGCGUCUAGAAGAACAAAAAUAAUAGUGAUGCUCCCAAUGGAUAAAAUUUCAUAUGGAAGUGGUCCUUAAUUGAGGUUUAUCUCCUUUGACCCGCCAAUUGAUGCAUCAACUAGACGAUGUAUGGCAAAUUUGUGGUGGCUAAUGGUAAUCUUCCUUAUGGUUAAGGGAAGAAUCUCUUUGACAAUUCUUCACGAAGCAAUGUUAAAAUAUUAUCAUACGCACGAGGGGAAAAUUAUUCUACCCUACUAGAUGGAUUUUGUGGUUAGAAUUGAGAGGGCUUGAUUCACUUUUGAAAGGUUUAUGAGAAAUCAAACUCCAUAAUGGAUUUUGUGGAGCUGACUUCAUUCAAUGCAAAACUAAUUCGAUAAUUUUAACUUGAAGAAGGAACUACCAAAUGGAAGGCGAUGAGAAGAGUAAGUGGGAUUGUGGUAGCUGAUCAUGAGGAUCAAAGAUUUCAAUGCGUGAUGGUGUUGGUGUUAAGGGCAGGUAGUAGACUAGACUUAGCAAAGCCAUGCGACAAUACACAUGAAGUUCCAACUUUGAGCAGGUGAAGAGGCCUGCCUGAAAAUAUAUUGUCAGUACUUUAGGUUGUACCCCGGCCCUUUUGAUUAUUUUGGACCUGGUACAUUCUAGCACAAGAAAGAAACAUGAAAAAUUAUUCAACUGAUAAUUUUGGUAGUUUUCAUCGACGGACAAUAAGGUAAAAAAGAUUCAUUUGCAUGCUGAAGUACAUGUCUCAAGUUUUUACUAGAAGAGUGGAGUUGAAAUGUGAUAAUGUUUAAUACCAAAAAUUAGAAUGUAAAAAUCAUAUACGCACUAACCAACUUCAUUUUAUCAGAACGAAACUCUUUCCAUUCUUGAUGAGUUGUAAGUUGCAAGGAAAAUGUAGAAUAGAAUUUUACUUACUGGCACAUUCCAUUAAUAGCUACUAUAUUGAUGUACCAUGAAACUUCCCAAUUUGAGGAGAGAAAGCAAAUAUACCUUUUUUUUAAUUUAUUAAUUUACACUGAUCAUUGGGCUAGGGGCAUUUUCAAGAGUUUAUCAAGAGUUUGUUCUUUGCGAGGUUUGAUUUUACAAUGGUAAAAGAUGAGGCAGCUUAGCAUAUUGACAGGAAAUCAAAAGGGAAAUUCGGGCAAUUUGUUCAAUCGGAAUUUACUUUCUUCUGUUCUUGAUCCUACAUCAUCUGCACGGAAAUUUCUGCUUUCUCCCAUCUUUGCCCUGCAUUUGUUUUCUACUACCCUAGUUUAUGUAUAUCAAAUAUCCCCCUAGUUUAUGAAAAUGACCCUGACCUUAUCAAUCAGGAAAUGUACCUUUUUUUUUUCUUUUGGAGGCUUCCUUGCCUUAAAUUGACUUUGAAAUUUUGGAUAUGAUAACAGUGAACCAACAUAUGUUAGUCGUGUUCUUCAGAGGGUUCAGAAAAAAUGAAUUAUACUACCAAAGAUAAGUUUUUAAACAACGCCCCUAAAUGACAAAAUUUCAUGUUUACGCUGUUUUCAGCCCUUCUUAAGAUGAAAGUGGUCCUUAAUUGAGGUUCAUCUCCUUCUGCCCUUUGAUGAUUGAAUCCACAGAUCAAUCGUACUUGCCCUAAUUUCAGCUAAUUCACUCAUACCCCUCGGCAUUCAGCUGCUCCAUUAAUGUCACCACGUCCAACAAGUGAAUUGACUUCUUCUCCCACCGUUUAGAAGGAUAAGGAUAAGAAGAAGCCGUUUUUUUUUAUAAAAAAAUUUUAAAUUUAGGACCUCCUACUUACGAUCCAUAUUAUCUUAUUAUCCAACCCAACUUUUUCCGAUAAACCAAUUAUAUAUAGAGAGAUGGUAAAAAUGAAUUUUUCAUUCCAAAAUGAGAUACAUGAGAACUUGUGCUCACUAACUAAAGGAUUAAGCUAUUAAGAUUCCAAAAGAAACUGUAAAAAGCGAAAGGCAAGCUUCCCAUGAUUUUCUCAAUCGUUUCAUAGAAGCUCAAUUUCAAGAUGAUGCUCACACCUCAAGUUGUGAAUACAGUUCACCUUGCUAAGUUGCUUGGAAAGACAAUUUAGACGAAGCUUCCAACUCAAGUUAGAAGAAAAUUACCUACCAUUCAAAUAUGAACACUGAAUGGGUCACAAUCCUGAUGCUUUUGGUCUUUUUUGUAAUCAAACAUCAUUUCGUAUUCUACUUACGUAAGAAGGCAUCUAAUAUUUUCUUGGCAAAGACUUUCGUAUUCUUCUUACGUAAGAAGGCAUCAAAUGUUUGGAUAGCAAAUUAUUAUAAAUAAUAUUUCGUUUGUAUCAAAAAUAUAUUUUACAACCCAUUUUUUAUAUUCACAAUCACUUUUUUAUUUCACAUACAUCGCAUUACAAAAAGUACGAUAGUAAUUAUUCCAAAUGAUAUUGCGUAUUCUUCUUACCUGAGAAGGCAUCUAAUAUUUUCUUGGCAAAGGCUUUCCAAAAGCCACCUUUGAUCUCAGUUUAAAACUUUAUAUAUAUGACCUCCACUUCGACUAAUGCUACAAGCAUAAAACCAAGUUUAGGCAUUAAUCGUUUGCAAGUUCAGCCAUCCCAAAAUCAACCAUGAAGUUUAUUGCUCCUUGUUUAGUAGCUCUAUUCUUAACCAUCUCCUUCAUAUCGGCAUCUUCAUCUUCAUCCUAUGGCACAUCUGCUCCAAUAACUGAAGGACUGUCCGCCUCAUUCUACCAUUCCAGUUGUCCUAAGGUAACGACCAUUAUCAGACACCAUCUAAAGAAGAUCUUCGAGGACGAUAUUGGUCAGGCAGCCGGAUUGCUUCGCCUCCAUUUCCAUGACUGUUUUGUUCAGGUCAAAACAUUUUUGUUUCUUCGAGAAAAUAAUUGGUAGUUGACUUCGAAUUCCUACUAACCUAUACUUUAUAUAUAGAAGCUUAACUUUGUUUUUUUUUUUUUUUUUGAAUAUACAACUUCAUUUCCACACUAAACCAAGGAGGUUAGUGUCUAAAUUGGCAUCUAGUAGCAAUGGCUAAAAGGAUUUUUAGUGUUAAUUGGCUCCAAAUAUCUAAAUGCAAUAAUAAACACAAUGUUUCAUAUUUUUCUUUGUGAUAAUUGAAAUUAAACAAGACUGAGGAGGACAUCAAGAUAUUUACCAACAACAUGAGAAUUCAUGCAUAUAUGAUCUAUACUCUCUCUCUCUCUCCCUCUCCCAUUAAUGGGGAUUCAAUUGAAGUGCUCUAUUAUUCUAAUGGAGUUAAUGAAAAAACUUUUGUUUUUUUUUUUUCACAAUUGGGCACAGUCGUGAAGUUAAUGGGAUAAUAAAGAUGUACGAUGAAAGUGCUCCAUUUUAGUGAAGAUGUCCCUUUUGAACUUCCAACGGGAAUUCAGACGUCCUUGUCUGAGACUUGAAAAAAUCAGUCGGUUUCUAUGAAAUGAAAUUACUAGCUUUAGCUAUUAACUGGUACUAACAAUUAAUUUGUGGCCAUUUUUUUCCUUAGUAACGUGAUUUGACUGUGUAGUCUAGAUGACUAGGUUUUGAAUGUUAAAAUAUAUUGCAGGGGUGUGAUGCUUCAGUGUUGCUUGAUGGAUCCCAUAGUGGCCCUAGCGAGAAGGACGCACCCCCAAAUCUGAGUUUAAGAGCUGAGGCAUUCAAGAUCAUUGAUAGCCUUCGGGAGCACGUCCACAAGGAAUGUGGAAGGGUGGUCUCAUGUGCUGAUAUUGUGGCACUUGCUGCACGCGACUCUGUUUUCCUGGUAAAAACAAAGAUAAUUUCAAAAAAUUACCUUUCAAAAUUGAUAUCUUGUUUUUGCUUAGCCAUGUAAAUUUAGGAUGAAAUCCGUGAAGGCAUUUUUUUUUCUAAUAGGAGAAAUAUGCGAUUUAAGAAGCGGAGAGAGAGGGAACAUAAGGAUUAGAGAAGGAUGAAUAGAGUUUGAGAUGGAUGAGUAUAUAGAUAAAUUGAUUGCAACAUGUUUUAUCAAGAAUAAACAAUGUCUGGCAACUACAUUAUACAUAACAUAUUUCCUAUGAUAUUGCACUACGCACCCUAUAUUGCAGAGUUUUGUUGAUCUCUUGGUAUGUUCGAACAGUUGUUCGCAUAUGCGUUUCAUUAAGGCAAUCUUAAAAUAGAUUGCACGUAUAAUAUUUCAGUGACACGUUGGGUUUCAUGCUAUUGUAGAGUGGAGGUCCGGACUAUGAAAUACCCUUGGGAAGAAAAGACGGGUUAAACUUUGCCACGAGAAAUGCAACAUUAGCUAAUCUUCCGCCACCUACCAGCAACGCAAGUGCCCUUCUUGCCUCUCUUGCCACCAAGAAUUUCGACGCAACCGACGUAGUAGCCCUCUCCGGUGGCCACACCAUCGGAAUCAGCCACUGCACUUCCUUCACUCCUAGACUGUAUCCAACACAAGAUCCAACCAUGGAGGAGACGUUUGCCAAUGACCUUAAGCAAACUUGUCCAGAAUCUAAUUCUACUAGUACUACUGUUUUGGACAUUCGAACUCCGAACUUAUUCGACAACAAAUACUACGUUAAUUUGGUGAAUCGACAAGGGUUGUUUACAUCUGACCAAGAUUUAUACACGGAUAGUAGAACGAGUGACAUUGUCACAAGCUUUGCUUCGGAUGAGAAAUUGUUCUUUGAGCAGUUUGUGCUUGCCAUGCAAAAAAUGGGGCAGCUCAGUGUUCUGACUGGUGGACAAGGAGAAAUUCGUGCAAAUUGUUCAGUGAGAAAUUCUGAUAACAAGUCUUAUGUGUCUUACGUGGUGGAGGUUGACGAUGAAUCCAAGGCUGAAUUAUAAGGUUUUAGGACUUUUUGUCUUGGACUUUCUUUGUACGAUAUCGUUUGUUGUUUAUGUCAUGGUUUAGGUGAACUUGUCAAAGUGAGUUGGUAGUGUAUUGUGUAUUGCAAAUCAGUUUGUAGGACCAAAACAAAUUGUUAUACUAAAGUCAACUUUUCUUAGCAAAAACUUAGAAAUUGUGCUCUAUAUUCUUUGUUCUUGAUUCUAGUACAUGUGAGCUUCCUAAUAAGGCUGACUUGGUUCAUAUGGGCGCCACCAAAGUUCAUGGUUUUUGUUGUAAAAUGUGGAGCAAUAAGCAGAACCUUGUGAAUUCUUUAAGGUCAGAGUUCCGACUAUUCCAACUUAAUCCGAAAAGGGCCAUGAUUUUACCUUGGAGUACUUCAAUCUUUUUUCUUUAGCUAAAUUGAACAUUUGCCUUAUCGGUUUUUGAAAACUUUCAAAUGCACAUCGCUUUCGUUCUAACAAACGAAGAAAUUAACACCUAUUUUCACAAAUCAUGUGGAAAGAGAGAAGAAAAAAGGUAUCAACCAUCAGAAUUUCAUGCCCAUAUAUCACUAGACUUACUCUUAUCCAAGUUCUUAGAUGCUAGUGAUAUAGUUUUUCCUAGCAACGAUAAGCCUAAAAAGAUUAUGUAAGGAGUUAGUAGGUAUACAGAAAGGGUCGUCAAACCCCCCGACCUAUAACCCAAAGAGGGACUUAGUCCCUUUUUCGUGAUCACUGAGCUAAAGCUCAGUGGUUCAGUGGUUAGACGCUAGUGAUAUAGGAAAAGUAAAUUUUGCCGAUAAACUAUCCUUGUAUUGUAGUGCUUAUUACAUGAUUUUCGUAGUAACGAUAGAAAUAGUUUUUUUAUGUCUUUUUUUUUUUUUGCUUUUUAAAUAGGGGAAACCAAAAGCACAAGGGAAAUUUGAAAGGGGGUAAUUCCACUUUACACUCUUCAAUUAUAUCUCAAUUUCUACUUUGAUCCUUCAAUUAUAAAUUGAUCCUUCAAUUAUAAAUUGAAACACCUUAGUCCCUAAACCAUUAAAACCUUCCCAUUUAAGAACAAUUAUCAAUGUGAUUCUAAAAACCAAUGAAAUGCUAGUCAUUUUAGCAACAUUGUUGCAUGUUGCAAGAGCAUAGAAGGAAAAUCAGAUUAAACAAUAACAAAGACAAAGAUUUCAAAGUUGGAGGGAAGAAAGAAUAUUAGGGAUCCAAAAAGGGAAUCGAGAUAUAAUUUAUAAUUUAUUGAUCAAAGUGGAAUCAAUAUAUAGUUUAAAAACUAGAGUGUUCCGAUUUAGAGUUUGAAAACCAAAGUGGAAAUUGGGAUAUAGUUGAAGGGUGUAAAAUAUAAUUUACCAAUAGCUAGUGAACUUACCCGCGAUUAGAAAUAGAAUCCGAGCAUUGACUUUACCAACCCCUGCUGGUCUGACCCGAGAGGCACAGCAGACUGAACUCCGCAUAAAUCCAAAUAUUGCAGUAGGCCCAUUACUAACGAUUGUAUUGCAAUGUUAGGUGGAUUAGACUGCAGGUUAGAGAUUUAAGGGGCCCUAAGCAUGGGCUAAGAGAGUUACGUGCCCAUUUAUACAAUGGGUCCCUUCACUAUUUUCAUCAGGCGUUUUUCCUUUACUUUCUAUCUUCCAAUUUCCUUUUGCCUUUUUCACUUCUUCAGCAAACUUAUAUGGUUGACUCAAGUCAUAUAUGAAUCAGUCACUAAAACCUGGUAUUCUAUAUCUAAUUCUCAGGCAUAAUAUUAUCACUAAAAGUAACUUUUUAGUUUAUCAUCUAUUAAUCACAAUCACUUUUUGAUCAAGUAAAAUUGCAUUACCAACAGAUGUUGAUGUAAGUGGCAGGGUUUUCAUCCUUUAACCGCGAAAUUUUGGAUUCAAAAACCAUGAAAAUGAAAAGGAUAAUAUUAAUAGGGUUUCUCCUUUAAGAAACUCGAUUCGAUUUAAACAAAAUUAGUUGCACGUCGUAAAACGAAUACGAAUAACUCCAUUGACGUAUGAAUUACGUAAAUGCAAUUAUAGCCAUUUGAAUCAUUUCAAAGUUCCAAAAGGGGUUCAAUCCUCUUAAAUUAAGGCUUUAGACACCUUUGAAAAGCUCGAUGCCCCUUUUAGACACUUGGUUAAAGCAAAAAGUUUGGUCCUUAAAACAUAUAUAUUCGCCUAUUAAAGUGACCAUGCUGGACACAAUCCAAUUGGUAUUUACAUAGAUUUCCCCCUGCCCCAAAGACAAUUGCCUCGUCCUUUUCAAGACAUGAUAAUGCCUCUGAGCCCCACUCAAUACCCCACCUGAUUCUUGAUGGAUUUUUAGCCCUCCAUUUUAACAUACGAAGUUGUGAAAUCAGAAAUGUGAACCCAAUUUGGGCCACCCAAAUGAGCAAUCUUGCAAAAGCUAGUCCCCACUAAUUUCCUACUAUUGCCUCUCAUGAUUCCCAGCGUGAGAAAAGAAAAUUUAGAAAAAGCCAUCCUUUUCCAACAUAACCACAUGGACCUCACAAAACAUUUGAUGCUUCUCCUGUUCAUGCAUAUGAUUUUGGUGCAAGCCUGUAUCUCCAACAUCAAUUGCAUGUACAACAAUUCUUGCUUCUUCUUUUUUUUUUUUUUUUUUUAUAUAUAUAUAAAUUUGUAAUAGCUAUCAAGAUGUUGACAAUCAAUUGCUGUAGCUGGAAAUGAAUUUCACAGUGAAUACACAUUUGUCUUUGGAGUUUCUACACAACUCUCCCCAGUCUCCCAAUGUGGGAGGGUAAUAUACAGUUACAAAUUUGGACUGUAGAAGCUUGUUUAGUCCGGCAUCACAAUCAAGAAUCAAGAGAUUCGGCCUAAAUCAACUUCACCAAUGCUUGGCAGUAAUAAGAUAUUGAAGCCAAGAUCGACCAAGGACCAAUUAAAGAAUUGGGUAGUCAAGCAACGUAGAGUAUUGGUUCUUUUAAUUGUUAGCAUUAUUGAGACUCAUAGUUUUCUGUUAUUUUUCAUAAGACCCUCUCAACCUAUUUUGAAGUUCAUUGUAUUCUAAACCAGGCAGUAAUUGUUAAAAUAAAACGUUCCUCCUUCCGAAGUUCAAUGUACUUGAUUUUGUUGUGGUCCUCCAUUAAGAUCACUGUAAAAAAAUUGAAGUCGAUUAUUGGAUGGAGUCCUAUUUUACUUUCACUGUGCUAUUCCACAAUAUGUCCCUCUUGGAAUUUCACUAGCCUUCUAGAAAUUGAGUUUAGAAAAGGAGGAAUAAAAAAAGAACGUUUUUCUCAUGAGUACCUAACCUCUGCUAGACUCCCAAUUAAAAAUAGCGUUCUUACUGCAAUGUGUGACGGUAUAAAUUGGUUAAAUGCCUCUGUGUCAUCAUGCAUAUAUAUAUGAUGCAAAGCAAGGAAAUAGAAAUGAUCACAUUAGGCAAAAAAAAGUGUCCAAUACAUUGUUGAGGCAUGGAGAAAAGUAAGUCAUUCCCACAAUAUUCAUCAUCUUACUCUAGUGAAUAUGGUUUCCAGGAUCAAUCAAACUCGUACAUUUUUAAUGGUCCAAGCACAAGGGGUGAAGGAUUUACAGCAUCAAAUGAUCCAGAGCUCAAAAGGAAGAAGAGAAUUGCAGCAUAUAACAUGUUCACAACUGAAGGUAAACUCAAAGCAACUGUAAGGGAAAGCUUCAAGUGGAUCAAGACCAAACUUAGUGAUGUACGUUAUGGUUUCUAGGCUUGUCUUUCUUCUUCCAAUUCUUCUUCGUCUCCUUUUCUUGUUUUGGCUGUGGAGCCUUGGGGAAUUUCUCCAUGCUUGUUAAAGGAUGUAAUUGUGAUUCUGUUUCCUGAUCAGACAAAAAUUUGAUGAAAUGGAGACAGUCGCAUGCGUUAGUUGUAACUUGUGUCACGAAUGCAAAUUCUGUAAGCCUGUCGAGAUGUAAAUUCUUGUUCCUGUUAAUAAGAAACAUCGUGUAUCUUUUCAGAAGGGAUUUGUGUGGGUAAGUAGUGAAUGGCGAUAGAAGAUCAGAACACUAAACUACGUCCUUACUAUCACUUAAUUUUCAUGUUGAAGUAACUAGGUUAACGAAUUUUUUCUCUUUUUUUUUUUUUUGUGGGUGGAAUAGCAUAUGCAAUUUGAACAUUUGCUACUGAAAGGAGGGUGAGAACAGAAAGAAGAACUAGAUUUAGGUGUCCAUAUAGAAUUCAACAAUUUUAAGCACCAAUCAAGAAUUCAAGCGCAAAUAGGACUAUAGAAUUCAAGUUAUGCAGAUACUUACCAUCUGAGUUGGACUUUCAUUGCUGAAAUGUUUGGAUUUCAAUUUUGUAUGAAGAAGAAAAUUUCAAGGUACCCCUCGAUCAAAUGCUUUUUUUAAUUUUAUUUUGUCACUAUUAUUAUUAUUCUUGUUAAGCAAAGAUUUCUGAAGUGUAAGCAGCUGCAUAAUCAGGAAAUUUGACGGGCAUUAGGGAUCUUCUAUUGCCCAUUCAACAUUUGAUAUCUUAGUGUGGCUACUACUGCUGGCAUUGGCUGGAUAAAAAUGAUUGGUGGCAGGGAUUUUUUUUCCCUUCUCACUCCUUGAUAUAAGUGGUGGUAAGACAGCAACAAAGUUCUUCUCUAUUUUCCAGCCCAUUGGAGCGGCAGUCCACAAAAUUCUUGAAGUCUCUCUUAAACUUCCCUAGAGUCAACGAUCACUUUGGAAGGUUUAAUCUUUACUUUCGUGGAUACCAUAAAAAAUUAGCUUUGUGCUUUUCUCUGCUAUUUUUUGGAAAGGUGAUAAUUUUCUUUAAUUGGAAGAAUAAUUGUUCAUGCAUUGGCAUAUGGAACUUGUACUGAGUAGUUAUGAAACCGUCAUGCCCAACUGUUAGAACAUUAGUGCUGGUUGCAAUUGCUAUAACUCACUUUUGGUACUCUGAUGGACUAUAUAGACAGAUUUCAAAUUUUGAGAGCCAAAAGAAACUACUGUCUAACAAGAUGUUCAAUUGGAUCCAUCUAGCACCAUCCACCCUCUAAACAAUUUUGGCGCAGUUCAUAGCAAAUUACACAAUGAAGCGAGGAUAUGCAACCGGUAAUGGGAAAAGAAUUAGUAAUGUCUUCUGAUUUCAACAAUUAAUGUUCAAGGAAAGGACAAAGUGAUGCAGGAUACACAUGAAGGAAAGAAGCAUAAGUUUUAAUUUUCUUCUAGACUUGAUUAAGAUGGCCUAAUCAACUGCAUGUAGCUCAAGGAGCUUGUUAAGAUCCCGGUUUCGAUAUUCCCUGGUGGAUAUAAACCUUUGUACCUGCUCACGGAACUGGAUAAUGUUGUCAUUCUUAUCAUUGAUGUUCAUGUUGUAACGAGAGCUUCUUUUGGCAUCCGGCAAUGGGGGCCGAUUUUUUAUGUUUUUAUUGGCCUGAGGACGGGCUUCUGUUCUUGAAGAAUUCUGGCGAUUAGGUAUGUCUGGUGAUGCCAAAUUCCGAGGUAGACUCUCUUUGUUCCCCAUGUCUGCUGCGUCAAAGGAGGUGAUGAUUGUUGUCUUCCCACUAGAGGAUGUGCUUGUUGCACUGCUUCCAGGUCCUUGACUGAGUGUGAUUGUUUCUGCACUUUUUUCUGGCUCCUGGAAAGUAGCAUAGGACACAGAUACCACAGAUUCCAAGUUUAAGGUUACAAAUUAUAGAUCAAGUGUUGUGCUAAUUAAGAAGGGCUGUCUGUCAGAUCGAAACAUUACCAAGCCAAUGCCUUCUUCCAUACGUGCAGGUUUAGUUAAAAUGUGUACGACUCAUUACAUACCUCAGAGCGACCUGGAUCUCCUGGUUUUUCUGCUGCUGUAUCUUUGUUCCUGUGUACUAUAUGUGAUUGAGACCGGUGCCUCAUUUUGGAACGUCUAUGCCUGUAUGGGAAACAAAAUCAACGCUCAGUAUACGUUUGAUAAAACUGAAAUCUGAAAUUUGAAUCCUUUACUGAAUUGCAAAUACUAAAAAUCCUGAGUACAUUCUACAUUAAGUGAUAAGUGAAUAACCUAUCAGUUAUCACUUAUUUUUUAGAGUAAGUUUUGCCUACAUAAGUCAGACCUCUAUUUUUUGUUAUCAAACAUAUCUGAACAUGUUAAGAUCUGAAUCCAUUAAGUUUAAGUACUGAAUUGAAUUAUCAAACAAGGUCUCAGAUAACAAAGCACUACAAAAUCUGCUAUUCAAGUUCUGUCAAUCUGUCAUAGAUACCGUAAGCCAAAUGAACUUUCUUGAGCAAACUAGCUGCAUACUAAGGCCUUCUUCAGCUUCAUCAAGUAAUUAUAGUGCUUAUUCACUAGUAUGUUAAAAGUUCGAGAGUACUGCAUCAACCAUAUAAAAAACAGGAUCAAGAACCUACAAUUUGGAACUUCUUAUUAUGCCCUGCAGUGAAUUGGCAUCAUAAUAUGGGUAUCAGUUAUAAAUUGGAAACUCUUCGGAUUGGCUGAUGUAUACUACAUUUUUAAGCCAAAAGUAAUUUGUAAAACUAUUGUUUUACAUUUGCUAUUUCUUAUUCAGGAAAACACAUGUCAAAUAACUCACGUUCUCCUUUCAGUUCUUUGAAUUUCUUCAUCUUCCUCUUUGUAAGUCACUGGUAAUCCAGAGAGAUCACACGCCAAAGGACUUGUACAAAAGAACUGAAAUAAAUAGGGAGUCCAGUAUGUCAGUUUCAUGUACACAGUUUAAGCAAGUGAUAAGUUCCUGCAGCAUGCUUCCAAAUGUUAAAACUAAAUAAGUAAUGGAACUAUUCUUUCUUCAAUCAUGCAUUAAAGAACAGGAAAAAGGAUAAACAAGGCUCAAACACUGCCUGAAAUGUCCUAUUUUCAGAACCUUUGAUAUGUCAGUUCAGAUUCAUUCUGCAACGAAUUUAUUACUUUAGCAAGAUAUGCACUUACAGAUCUUUCUUACCUCAUAUUGAAGAGCUGAUGCUGCAGAACCGCGAGUUUCAGGAUCAAGAGCAAGAAGAGUGCUUAAAAGACCUACAGAAGAUGCAGGAAAAUUCCUGAAAGCUUCUCUAAGUCUAGGCUUAUAGGUUUGUGGUGGUCUGAAUGUUGUUGCCACCUUCGCUCUUUUCCAAAAAUCAUUUGAAGGUGUGCCACAAAGCUUAAAAAUCUUGUGAACUUGCUCUACCUAAACAAAACAAUAAUGCAAACAAGUUUGCAUUUGGUGACUAAAAAUUAAGAGGGAACUAUAAAGAACGAACAUAUAUUAUAUAGCUAUUUUCAAGAUUUGUCAAACAGGUUUUGCACUGUUCUAUACUUUGUUAUGAUCUAUUUGACAUGCUCUCUUUUCCUAUCAUACUUUUCCACCUCUGUCAACUUAUGCUGAUGUAUCAUGUAUGUUACAAUGAAUGUUUUUGCAUACUUCAAACCUGUAUAAACAAACUCAAUUACCUCUGUCCUACCAGGCAUAAUUGGCCUCCCUAUAAACAUCUCAGCCAUGAGGCAUCCUGCACUCCAAAGAUCAAUACCUAUUCCAUACUCUGUUGCGCCUAGGAGUAGCUCUGGAGCUCUAUACCAAAGUGUCACAACUCGGCUUGUAAGUGGGCGCUUUUUCUCAGGAUUAUAAUAAUUAGCAAGCCCAAAAUCUGCGAUUUUUAGCAUCCCUUUUUUAUCAAUUAAUAAAUUGGAUCCUUUGAUGUCUCUAUGCAGAAUGCCUUUCUCAUGGCAAUGCUGCAGCCCAGAAAGUAGUUGAUGCAUGUAGCACUUGACCUGCACUUUGUCAAAAUAUUGAAUCAGCAAUUAACAAGGUCAUGCUUAAAUAUCCAAACGGACAAUAAGCGAGUGCACAUGGAGAACUUUCUAACCUGUGGUUCAGUUAGCCUCUCAUCAGGCCGUGUGAUAAUGCUUGCUAAAUCACAUUGCAUGUAAUCAAAGACUAGGUAGAGGCUAUAAUGCAUUCUUGAAGUAGCCAAACCUUCAAGCUUCACAACAUUUGGAUGAUCCAAUUUCCUCAGAAUCCUAAUCUCUCUUGCCAUGAAUUUCACACUCUCAGGCUCUGUUGUGUCAAAACGAACUUUCUUCAUAGCAACUAUCUUUCUGGUGUACUUGUCUCGAGCUUUAUACACAUUGCUAUAUGUCCCUUGGCCUAUCUACAAAAUUGCAUAUUAUCACUAAGCACAGAUAUUACAUUUCUCAAGAAGCAUCUGUUAGCUAUCUUCGGUAGAAACUGCAGACGUAGGUAUGCUAAUGACUUAAUAAACAAUUUAAGAAUAGCUUAUACGUGCAAUAUCGGUUUGAAUAGCAAACUACAGCAAACAAAAAAAAAAGAAAAAAGGGACAGAUCAUUUCUGAUUAAUCAAAUGAUGCUAUCAAGUAGCUGAUCCUCCAUAUAGGAGCAUAUGCGAACCAAAAACAAAUAGCGCUAAAACUAACCUUGUCAAUCUUGUCAUAGGUUUCUGCACUUCUCGGAAUUAGACCUUCUAAUGCAUCUCUAGGGAUGUUAUCAAUCAGCCAUUUUGGCCAUCCAUCAACUAGCUCACCAUCUUCUCCAUCCCUUCUAGUUGAUGAUGUUCGAACAGAGGCAGUUCCAACACCACCAUUUGCACUCGAACUGUAUGUCUGCACCUCUAGAUUGAUUGGCUUCUUCUCUUGACUUCUUUUAUUCCCAGCGCUUGAUGUAGUUCCACCCCUACCAUAAUUGCCACCUUCUUCACCUCCAUCAUAACUAACUCGUGCUUCUUCUCGAGUGAUUGGCUUCUUUUCAUGACUCCCUCUCCUGCCAGUGCUUGUCUUUCCACUACCACCUUCAUGCCUUGAUUCAUGCCUGAACAAUUGACCUGCUCCAAUUGUAUAAUGCCUCUGUCCAGUUGAUUUCCUUGCUGCUGCAUAACCUCCUUUAGCAUCAUAACCAUUUUCCAUCUCCAACUUCAGCAAUCCUGGAGGAGGUGAAUUCAUUGAAGGCCUGCCCUGAGUACACCCCAUACACUAAGCAAAAAAGAAUGCAAAAUCUUUAGAUGAUCAAGAGAAAAUAAGCUGAAAGGUGACAUAUCCAUGCAGCAACUGCAAAUGAGUAAAUCAACAAAAAGGAAUAAAAGAAGACAUAUGGUGAAGAGGGAUAAUAGAGAUGUAGGCAAGUCUGUAGUAAGCCAAGAAAGAAAGGAAGCAAAGGGUAACAGAAGAAGAUGUCAAAGACGAGGAGGCCGGCUGGCCGGCCUUUUGGAAUAAUUCUUUUAAGUGACAUGCUUUGCUUGGUAAAAUACUUAUAGCCUACCAAGUUUCAAUAUUUUUAAGCACAAUCUUAGCUUCCUCCGGCGAAGAGGUGUUAAGCAACAUAACAGAAUUAUGCUUUGAAUUCAUAGAAUCUUCUGAUUAGUGAUAUCUUCCUAGCUUCAUCCGAAAAAGUAAAUUAUGUAACCAAUUUAAGGAGAAACAAAUGGCUCCCUUUUAGUUCUCUAACUGCUGCUUAAUUUACACUAUGCUGGCAAGUUAGAUUAGGAAAUUCUGAUGAUUAAAAAAAAUUGUAAUUUUGAUUCUAGGAACAUUAUUGUUAAUGGUCUCACAUCAUUUUGGCUACAGGAAAAAAAAUGUGAUUUUACCACGGGAUCAGUUAGUUCUCAAGCUUAGGAAUAUCAAAUCGGUUCUUGAAAUAUGCUGCUCUACCGUUCUCUUUUCUCUUCUUGAAAUUCAUGUAGAUGUAGAAAUUGGGUACAACCUUAGUGUAGCGCAUAAUUAGCGGUACACUUUAAAAUGAUCCAGCGCUAGUUGCAGGCAUGUCAUUGAUUCAUCAAAUUUCCAGUUGCAUCUUACCUACUGAUGUAAGCCAGCGAGAUUUCAAGUUGAUCAAAUCCAGCUUCUGCAUCAAGAUCACUAAAGCUAUUCCUCAGACAUAAGAAAGAGUGAAUUAGAGCCGAAUUAACGCAGAUGUUUGUCUUGAAAAACGUCAAAAUGUGUACAUGACCACGUCCUGCGUUUGAUUCUUAUUUGAUGCUAUUCAGUUCCAUUUCGUUAAUCCCUUGAGAAGUGCUAGAAGGAAUGAGCUGAAAAUUGUUGAAUCGAAAAAUUGGUAUAUCUAGAUAAAUCAACAAGAACUAAGGCAAAGGUACACAAAUCAACAAGAACUAAGGCAAAAGUACACAAAUAAACAAAUCAAAUGGGAUGUUCUUAGAUUGUACCAUUCGAUUGAUGACAGCUUAACACAUGGUCCAAGAAAAGGGUCAUUCCCCCAUAGAUAUUUAAAGUUAACAAUGAGCCAAAAGAUAGAAAACGAAGGGAAGGGAAAAGGAAAGGAAUUUGGUUGGAUUGCUUAAUUCUAUGCCUGUAGAGAGAACUGGUCAAUACAAUUAUAGUUUAGGAUGGGACAAAAGGGUUGGGAUACAUCUGAUGUUCAACGUUUAGAUUACCGAUGCCCUGAGCUUUCUUGAAGAAAAGAGCUAUGACGGACAUGCUUCACCCUUGUUUUAUCUUCUUCCAUUUAAGGCUCUUAUUAACAUGCCGUUGACAGAUGUCUAGCAUUUAUUGCGGUGGAUAAUAUCUGGAUUAGCUAGACUGAUUAAUAAAUCCACUUCGCGGAAAGAAAAAAAAAAGCGUGUUUAAAAGUGACCAACUUAUGCUUUGUUGCAGGAACAAUACAUUAAGGAGUUGUUCAGAUCUAACAUGAUCCUGUUCUUGAUACCAGGGCUUUCUCACAAAACAAUGGGAACCUUAAGUUACAACGUAAUGUCAAUGGACAGAAUCCGAAUGAAAAUCCCAAAUCCAAUUAUUGUUUGAAGGUUCAAUCCUGUGCAACUUACAGCUAUCCUGGAACAACAUAAAUUCCUAAAAAUGAACUUUUUAUUGCAUUCCCUUUUUUUUGUCAAGACCAAAAGCAUUAGGUGAACAUAUUAUAUAUACACACACCUCGGUCUCCUUCUGAACCAAGAAGAGAGGCCAAAGCAGAAGAGUAUUAAUCGGUUUCCAUUGUUUUUGGAGACUCUGAAUCAUUUUUCAACAAGAUGCUUAAGACGUGCCUCCACUCAUCGAUUGGCAUCAUUGACUGGACAGCGAAAACUCCCAAGAACAUUGGAGAAACCAUGACUUGUAUAUUAUGGGUAAACUCAAAGGUUCAAUAGAUGCAAUAUUCUGGAAUCGAGUGACCUGAGCAAAACGAAUGUGGAACAAAUCGUGCCAAGAAGUUACAAGGGAACAUCAACUAUGUGUACAUAAGAUACAGUAAAGAGGGGCUGGAGCAGUGGCCUUAUGGUACUCCAUUGAAGAAUCAUUCCAGAUCAACAAUUCCAAAAUUGGACAGC